UUGAAAAGAAGUAUAAGCACAGCUAGAACAAUCCAUGAAAAGCCAUACACCUACACGAAUAUCGAAUGACAACUUUUGAGUUCUCUUUUUAGGCUGUGAGCAAAUAGAAACUAACAGAGAAGCCAAACAGGAGAAUUAUAAAAGUAGCCAAUGACGCAGUAUUGUAUUCGGGCCUUGCUCAUGUAGGAGCUAACAGAAUGUUCCAUUAAAAGAAAGAAAUUAAAUUAAGGGUGGGAAAAACAAAACAAUAUGAAGUACGAUAGGUAAUCUGGAAGUCCAUUGCCAGUCUCAUGGAAAAUGCAGCAUGGAAAUAACAUCUAUAAGCAGAGUUGUUACCGAUAAUGAUGUAUCAUUUCCCUGUAUAUCUAGCUUGUACACAAUGCCGUACUGGAAAAUAAAGAAUCUUAGACUCAAAAUGGUCUCCAGUAUCCGCCCUCCCAAAGUCCGAAUAUGUGCCUGUAAAGAAAUUUUUUAAAACAAAUAACAUGAAACAAGUAAAUUGAUAAUAAGAACAAUAAGACAAAUAAACAAAGGAAAAAAAAAGAAUUACAUAGAUUAAAUGAAGAAAGGGUUUAGGUUUCCCUCAGGCUUGAAAAUGGGAGUUGCUGAGAACCUAUUUUCCAAUCCCACUAAGAUGACGAAUGAGAGUCUGCGAAGUUGGAAAGGACCAUACAUGACAAUUUAGCUCAAGCACUGAUGAGCUAUGAUACAUGACAAUUUAGCUCGCUAUUUAAAGGACCAUAUAUAGUAGAUUUUCCAAGUUGAACAAUGAGAGAAUUGCUUGUAGGACAGAAUUCAAAUUUUUAUUUGUACGUGAACAAGUAGUUUACUCCCACAGGCACUAAAAAGUUAUUAUGAAGCAGAAGAAAUGGUCUUUAUAAAAGAUCACAUAAUGAUAACUGAGGAGGCCUUCAAAUAUGACGCUUCCGUAGGAACCAGACAAGCAUCUUGGGUAGAGAGGGUUAUCAUGCUAAUUGAAAUCCCAUGUUGUUUCUUCCUCUGAGCAACUUAGACGACAGUCCCUUUCAGGCCCAGGAAAGCGAUUUUUCCUGAAACUACUAUAAAAUAACGCUAAAAUCAUGUGGGACUUGAAAGAAGCAAACAUCACCAAGGCACUUUUACCUUAGCCUCUUAAGUGCCUGAUGGAGCAUCUUGCCUUACAGAAACUGGUGCUCAAUUGAGUAAUCAUGCAUGUAGCAAGCUGGUGCUCAAUUGGGUAAUAUGCUCUCUCUCUCUCUCUCUCUCUCUCUCUCUCAAAGCAAGAGGUAAGAUUGGGGAUCUGGUGCCUUGGUAAGCUCAGAUAGUAUGCAGAACUAUAAUAAUUAUGUCUAGAAGGGAUGUCAAAGGAUUGAAGAGAAUAACAGGGCGGAAAGCCAGCUCUGCAUAUUACUGUGGUCUAAAGAAAUAAACGAGAAAGAAAGACUACAUGGAGACAAGUCAUACCAGUUCUUCGUCCCACCAAGCUUCCCAGCUUUCUUCUCCCUUAACCCCAAUUCCUCCUCUGUAAAGAAGCCAAUUUGUCCAAUCCCUGAAAUCCUCUACCGUCCUAAAAAUAUGAAAUGAAAAGAUUGCUCAGCAAAGGGGAACAAAAUUAAACCUCAAAAAAGGAAGUGUUAGAAACGUUGCCUACUUUUGCCACUCAAAUCCAGAUGGGUUGAACAAAUAGGGAGCAAAAAGCCAAGAAAGAGCCAUAAACCAACUGCUAACUGUAAGAAGAAUGUAGGACAGUGCACCGCCUUCAUUGUAUCCAUAUGCGAGGUAGACCACCAGCAAAAGCGCAACUUCCAGCCUGGAAGCAAGAGGAAAAUUAGAUUGGUAUUCCUGAUAAAGAGUGUGUGUGUAUAUAUAUAUAUAAGAGAGAGAGAGAGUACCCUUUGACAAAAUGACUGCGAGAGUAGAGCCUAUAAUUCUCAGAAAAUCUAAUAUGGCGGACCACAAAUCCCCUACCAGUGGCUUGGUACUGUUGAUGAAAGACAUUAUUUUACUGCAUUUUACAUAAGGUCGCAAAGAGACAGGGGAGGGGAAAUGAGAGAAAGCAGUAAUACCCUUGCACCACCAUGAAGAAUUGUGCGACCAAAAUAAUGUGUUCUUGUGCCUAAUGAAAAAGUGAAGAAGACAGAGCAAAGCUGGAGCUGCAUUGUAAUGAAACCGACAAUGGCCUGCAGCAAUCAACAAAAGAUUAGAAAGAAAAUUGAUUUUGUUGAUGGCAGCAUUCUAAGCAGUUACCAAAACAUGCAAUCAAAGCAGAAAAACAACUGCUAAUUCAGUUUAAUGACAGUAAACAAAAUAUCAAACAUGUUAUACAAUUUGCUAGUAACCCCAAAUAAUGGAUAGCAUAAAAUGAACUACAAAACAACAAAAGUUAAAAAUAAGCAUAGUAGUGAACAGUGAAUAACUAUUAUCUACAGGAAAUAACAUAACAUUUUGUAAGUACAUUUGUGAAAAAAGGGUGUCCUCCAAAUAAAAGAAUGCUAGCUUAAGAAAAAUCAGUAUCAAAUUAAAAAGACCUCAACAUUUUGCAGGAAAAUUAAAAACACCAUUAUUUAAUUAGUAAAAAGACAUGAUCCAUCACAAUUCAACCACAUCAGCAAGAAAUUUCAUUUAUCUUGCCAGUAUCCUUCAAUAUUUAAAUUCAGCACUUAAAAGCCACAUAAUAACAUAUAUAAAGCACCAAAGCACUGCAUUUGUGCAAGAAGGUACCAUGUCACCAAGAUGUAAAGAAAAUCUAAAUCAACUGUGUUAGAAUACCAUAUUCGGAAAUUUUUUAAGAAAAUAGUCUGUCUAAUUAAAAGACAAGAAUUCAUUAUCUUAAGACCUUGAAAAUAUAGCUCCAGAUCAUCUUUCCAUAACAUUUACUUGGAUAAUCAAGCACAUUUAUAUAGUAAACAGAUGACCCAGAGCACUGUCCCCAAUGAAGAGUAUCCAGAAAAAUUCAGACAAGCAGUACCAGAAGAAACUCAACUGAAUUCAAAUACCCAACCCAUUCUAUGCGUGUCUAGGUGUUUCCUCAUAAAACACAAGCAACCAGCGAUGACACAAAUUUCUUGUUGACAGUAAGCUUUAUAUUACAAACACAAUGUACAGUCUGUUUUCUCAAGCAUAAGCAAAGGAAUGACAUAGAUAUAUACUUCAUCCAGCCAAAGAACAUAAGCUAACCACAGCGAGAUCUCCAGAAUAUAAAACAUCAAAUACACCCUAGAUCCAUUCCACAAUUCAAGCAAGACAUAAUGUAAUUUCAUAACAAAAAAGAAACCUAGGUGUAGAAAGGUAUGAAUUCAUAAGUGAAAAAACGAAAGCAUUCUUGUCACCAUGAUGAUGCAGUGUCUUUUACCACUUCAACAAAUAAAUGAAAAUACCAAGGUAAGAUAUGCAUUUACCCUCAGAAAACCCUGCUCCAAGAUGAAGCCCAAAAUCAUAGGCACAGCAGUAAACACACCAAUUUGAAACAGAAACUGUGCGUUUAGAGCAGCACUCAGGGCAGCGUUCUGCAGUAUGUCAGAUCUAACUUGAAUUUGUUCACCAACUCCAGAAAGUGCCUGAAAUAGAACUGCAUCAGAGAAAAAUAAUUGCAAACCACUUGGACAUGCAUCAGAUUGUAGAAUCUAGUGCAUUAGCACUAGCACUAGCACAAAGGUGGAGUGUGAGAAGUAACAAGCUAGGUCUCGCAGAAGGAAAAGGAAAGGGAAAAGAUAAUCAGAUAAACAGCUAAAAUAUCAUAGCAUAAAUAACUGCCGAGCAAGAAUGUUGAAAAUGAAGAAAAUGUUUCCAUCUCAAUGAUAGAACAUAUAGCAAUAUUUUUUAGUCAGUCUAUUCAUUAGAACUCUUAUCAGAAGUAAUAUAUAUGUGUUGGAAUAGGAAAUAUUGACCUAGCUGUAAAUAUAGGAAUUCUAGGCUACAUUAAAGGAGAUUAGGCAAAUCAUUAGGCAGAUUUCUUAUAUAGCUGUGAUUAUGUUCUUUCUUUAUUUAGGUGAUGUUUGUACCUAUAUAUAUAUACAAUGUAAUACAUGUAAAUUAAGAAGCAAUACAACCUAUCUUUUCUAUUUAUUUACAUGGUAUCAGAGCUAUCCGAAAAAAAAAAAAAAAAAAAACCCUAGCCUCCUCAAAGAAAAAUCUGGCCACUGCAAUUCCACCAUGCCUGCAACUCCAUCUGAUGGGUCAGUCACUAAUCCUACUUUUGAAAUACGUACUUCAUACAAUCAAAGUCAAGCAGACCACACCAUGUUUUAAAAACGUUCUAAGGAAGGUAAAACAGCAGUGUUGGUUGUGUAUGUUGAUGAUAUGAUUUUAACUGGUGAUGAUGAGGAUGAAUUAGCUAGUUUAAAGAAAAAGCUAAGUCAGGAAUUUGAGAUCAAAGACCUAGGGCCAUUAAAGUAUUUUCUAGGCAUGGAGUUCGCAAGAUCACGAGAAGGAAUUUUUGUGAAUCAAAGGAAAUAUAUCCUUGAUCUACUAAAUGAAACAGGUCUUCUAGGUUGCAAAGCAGCUGAAACUCCAACGGAGGUGAAUCUCAAAUUAAAUCCUGCAAAACCAGAGGACAUAACUGAAAAGGAGAGGUUUCAGCGUUUAGUGGGCAAACUUAUAUAUCUGUCACAUACUCGUCCUGAUAUAGCAUUUGCAGUAAGCAUGAUUAGCCAAUUUAUGCACUCACCAGGCCAAAAACACUUUGAAGCUGCCUAUAGGAUACUUAGAUAUCUAAAGGGAACACCUGGAAAAGGACUGAUGUUUAAAAAAUAUGGUCAUUUGCAAGUGGAAGUCUAUACCCAUGCUGAUUGGGCAGGUAGCACUGCAGAUAAAAGGUCAACAUCAGGGUAUUGCACUUUUAUUGGAGGAAAUCUUGUUUCCUGGAGGAGCAAAAAACAAAAUGUUGUAGCACAUAGUAGUGCUGAAGCUGAAUUCAGAUCUCUUGCACAUGGAAUUUGUGAAGCAAUGUGGAUUAAAACGUUAUUAGAAGAUUUGGAGCUACCUAUUUCCCUCCCCAUGAAAGUCUAUUGUGACAACAAAGCUGCUUGUUCCAUUGCACAUAAUCCAGUUCAUCAUGAUCGGACUAAGCAUGUUGAAGUUGACAAGCACUUUAUCAAAGAGAAGAUUGAAAGUGGACUGAUUUGUAUUCCUUAUAUUCCUACAUCUCAACAAAUAGUUGAUAUUUUUACCAAAGGACUACUGAAAAGACAAUUUGAUUUUCUAGUAAGCAAGCUGUCAAUGGGAGAUAUUUUUCAGCCAGCUUGAGGGGGAGUGUUGGAAUAGGAAAUAUUGACCUAGCUGUAAAUAUAGGAAUUCUAGGCUACAUUAAAGGAGAUUAGGAAAAUCAUUAGGCAGAUUUCUUAUAUAGCUGUGAUUAUGUUCUUUCUUUAUUUAGGUGAUGUUUGUACCUAUAUAUAUGCAAUGUAAUACAUGUAAAUUAAGAAGUAAUACAACCUAUCUUUUCUAUUUAUUUACAAUAUGCAGUACAGAAGGACACAUAUCAGUGGGCUUAGCAUCAACCUCAAAGAUUAUGAAAGUUGACAUUCACUGACAUACUUUUUCAAGUCACACAGCUGCCCACAUGCAGAAUAGCAAAGCACAAGGAAAUUGGUAAAAACUCUAGCCAUAUUGGAUGACAGUAUUUAUGCAUGUAGAGCAUAUAUAGCAAGCAUAGCAAAAAUAUCCCAUAAAGAGGAAGCUUACCAAAUAUAGCUUCCCAUAAAGGAAGAUGUACACUGUCAGCACUGUUAACUGCAAAAGAAUUUUGGAAACUAGUCAAAAUCCACAAAAGAGUAGCCAAAAACCCGGAGUACUUUUUUCCUGAUCUGUAGCUUGCCUAUGGUAGUUUCCUCAUUUAUUUCUAUUUUCUAGGCUCUGAUUUCUCUUCCAGUUUGUCAUUAGACAUCAGUAUAUAGUCUCUUGUAAAUUGUCAUUCGACAAUAGAAUGAAAAUUAUCACAAUUAUUCCUCUCAAAUUUUACAAGCACAUAAAGGAUGCAUAUAAUCAUGUCAAUGAAGUAAGCAGAUACAGAGAUGGCAUAAGAGUAGACACUGAUGAAUUGGCUAAAAAAUAAAAUUCCAUAAACAAGUACACACCAGUCCAUCAAUUGUAUGAAAUUAGCAUGCUUGUUAUUAGCUCAUACAUGUUUCAUUUGUUUAUGAUUCUGAUAAUUAACUGCUGAAAAACAUCAAUCUCCAUUUUAUCAACCAUAAUAUCAUGCCUAAAGUUAGAGUAGUUACAUACCAUUGUACAGAAAUAAUACCCCACAGUAGUGAAGUAAAACGACAUCAUUCGAAAGAAAUCAAAGAGCUGCCCAAGCCUGUAAAUGUCCCGACUAAGAACUUGCUCCCCAUUGCCACCUGCAACUUUUCCUUCAAAUAGAGCAAUCUGAUUGAGACCAACAUCUCGUCCUUUGCCAACCUGUAAAUUGGAAUCAGGUUUUACAAUUUAGAUUCCAAGUAAUAUACCAAAUAGAUAACAAAUGAAAACAAGAAAAAAUACCUGAAUAUACUCAUGGUGAGUAAUAUUUCCUUGGCGCAAAGUUGAAUUGAACCCUGCAUGGAAGUCAAAAGUCACAACUCUUAAUCUUUGAGAAAAUGAAAAAGAAAGCACAGUGUUGUUCUUUCAUUUCCUUCUAGAGUUUCUUAACUAAAGAAGUUAGUCUUAUGUGCAUAUGGACCAAAACAAGCAGUUUAAAAGCUUCUUCAAUCACUGAAAAAAAGGGACUACCCAGCUUUUCGCUUCAAAUUAAAAUUUCAAGCACUUGUUACUUUUAAAAAUGGUUUGAUAACUUAAUAUAGGCCAAACUCAAAUAUUUCAGUUAGUCAAAAACCACUUAAAAUGGUAAGUCAAAAUAAUUAAUUUAAAAUUUCUACUUAGAACGCUACAUAUUGGUUUCUUCAAUGAUUAUUUGACUUUUACUCCCUUAAUAUAUUCUUAAUAUACCAUAAAUUAUUAUUGACUAUUAUGCUCUUGUUUUAUAUAUUUAGGAUGACGUCAAGUCAUCAUGCCCCUUAUGCCCUAGGCGAGACACAUGCUACAAUGGCCGGGACAAACCCGCCGCCGUGAUCCAAUGAGAAUAGAUAAGAGGGACAUUAGCCCGCAAGAGUAAGCUAAUUCCAAAAACCCGUCCGCAAUUCGAAAUGCAGGCCGACACUCACCUGCAUGAAGCCAGAUUUUUUAUUUUUAUUAUAUAAUUAUAGUUUCCAAUUCCUAUUAAGUAAUUUCAAAUAUAAUUUGACGGCUAAAAAAUGUUAUGUUUUUCAGUAUUACAAUUAUCAAAUAGAUUGAUUAGAUUCAGAACUUAAGAUUCAAUGUAUUAGAUUAUUCAAUUUUACCAAACGCCAAGGAAAAGAGCAUUUAUAGUAAAAUCAUAAACAUUUAUUAAAGAGACACCAGCUGCAGUCAAUUUUCUAGCACCUAAAUCAUAGACACUCUAGUUAAUGAUUUACGGGUUUUAAAGUCUUGAUUAACAUAGUGGCGCAGUGAAUUUUUUAAAGUCUUCUUUUUCAAGAAACAGCUUGAUGUCAAACCAAAUUUGAGUAUGGUUUCUUUGCCACAAAGAAAUUGUUCGCUAAGUUAGCUAGGGCACAAAUCCUUCUUUAAAAGGAAGUUCUUUAAUUCUUCAUUAAAUUAUCAUUUCUGUACAAGGUUUCUAUAGACUUUGUAUGAUGUCAAUCCAUAGUCUGAUGGGUGUAUUAAACCCAACGCUCCAAGUGUCAUAUGCUUGGAGAGCCUUGUUUGAUGCUGAAUUCUUCCUAUCUCUCUGUUUUUCUUUUUCUUAAGAAUAAUUUCAAUCUACAAGACCAACCUAAGAAAGUAAGGCUUUUCUCAUAUCAGUUACACUCAAUCAUGGCCACAAAAUGUUAAACUGUAUCAACAUACUAAUGGCCAAGCAAAAUGCAUGCUACAAGACUACAACAGGUAAUACUUGUCUUAUAGUAAAGUUAUUUCUUUUAAAAGAAAGAGUUCACAACCCAUUUUCGAGGUGCAUAUCUCUUGUACAUAAAAAUGCUAAUAAAAGUUAUAAACACAAGAAUUGUAAAUUCAAAAUUUGAAAGGAAAAUUCUGCAUGGCAUAAAUCAGAAGUUUGAUAGCCAGUUACUUUUCCUAAAAGAAACUCCUGUGGAGAGCCAAAACCACUUUAUGGUCAAUUGGAUGACAGUCAUGAAGAAUAACGAGGGAAAAUUUAAAUUCUAUGAGUUGAGAAGGCUAUGAGGUUUCUUUGUUAGAUACCCAUUUUGUUUGCUGGGAUGUCUAGUGUUAAGAUUGUGGAAGGUUUAGGUUUAAGAGUAGAGUGUGUUUUGGGGAUUCAAAGACCAGAUAAUGUGAAUUUAACGUGAAUUCAUGUAUUAGAUAUCUAAAUAUGGUAUUAGUUUAUUACUAUUGGUUUCUUAGAGUACUUCUGAGGAUUUUUGUUUAUUCAAUUGGUGCUUGAUAAGAAAGAGAGGAGCUAAGUUUGUUGGUAUUCUGGAAGGUCUUGGAGAAAAUGAUGCCAGUAUCUGUGAAAAUCAUGUUUGGUGCUCCACCUUAUUUUUGCAUGCAACUAAAUGAUGAUUUUUCUGAAUUGUUCAUUUCCAUCCAAACAAAUGCUGCCAGGAGAUUUGAGCAAUCUAAUAUAUUACAAUAGGUUUCCCAGUACAAAGCAAGACUCGAUUGCUUUAUAUGUUUGCGGCAGCUGGUUUCUGAUAGAUAUGAGACCUUCGGUUUCUUUUUAAUGUUGGACAAUGUGGAGGUUCAAAUUAGAGUUCACUUAGCAGUUAGUUUCAAGAGUUUUUGUUUCAUCAAUAACCAGUUGAAUUCAGGAAUAAUACCCAAUAUGCUUCAUUUUUUGGAUAAAUCUGACUGUCUAACCUAAACUAGACUAUAAACUGAUCAGUCUGAAAUGCCGUUCUCAUCCUUUUCUGUAACAGGAGGGUGGUGGGUGUGGUGGUAAACCACGGAGGAAGAGAUUAAGUAAUUCAUUAACCUAUAUGCAAUUCCCGUUCAAGUCCAUAUAAAAAUGGGCUCAAGAUUAAUCAGUUUUUAGAUAACCCAAUUAUAAUAAGAGUUGAAAGAAAAAAAGAAAGAGAAAAAGAGAAAGGUUCUUUCUCAAAUAAUCAUGCCUGCAUAUAUAUCUUCACUAAUGUUGAUAACUCGAGAAGCCUUGCUGAUACCACCCCGUGUUAUAUGGAACACUCUAUCAAAGACAUCAGGAUGACCAUAAUGCAUACGGACUCUGCAUUUUGCAUAAAACUCAACAUCAAUUAUCCUGAGCUUUAUGAUAUUAAUCUACCAAUUCCCUUGCAUGAAAAUGUAGGCUUACUUCAAUGGAUUAGCCAGAACACGCUGACCAAGAGUAACAAAGCUAGUUUCCUGAUUUGACAUAAAGGAGGCCAAGGAAGAGACACUGCAAAAUAAAAGUCAAUUCAUAAGCCAAAUUAAAAUAGGUUCAAAAUAAAGAGAGAAUACAAGUCUCCACAGAAACAUACCUUCCUGUAAAGACAUGUUCUCGAACACCAAGAAUCGUUGGAGGAUGAAUACCAUGAUCAUGAUGAAAUUCUUCCAGAAGAUUUCUCAUCUUCAAGGCUUCCUCAAAAUAAUUAUCCUACAGUUAUGAUAUUAAGCAUCAUUAUUACAUCCAAAAUUAGUUCUCAAGAAGGAAAAUGGAUAUGUAAUACACACUAACACUCACAUUGAUACUGUCUCAAAGUGCGGAAAAUUAAAAAUAGAAAAUUAAGGCAACUACUCCAUUCCCCUCUCUUUUUCCAAGAGAAAAAAAAAAAAAAAAACACAAUUUCUCCCAGAUCUUAAAAACAACUCAAUGUCUUUCUUGGCAAAAGGACUGCAGGAAAAUAUGCAAGUAAUCAUCACCAUGUUAUCAAUUGAGAAAUCAGUUUGUUAACAUACAAGUGAGCAAAUGCUCAUGUGAAAAACAGGGAUGCAGUUAAAUGGAAAAGACAACUUGAGCUUAAUUUUGAUAAGUUAUUUUCUUCUUAUAAGCUUUUCCAUUUAAAAACAUUCUGGAACUCCAAUUUAGCAUCUUCUGAUUUAGGAAGUGAAAAUUUUGAUAGUGCUCAUCCUUGCUGACCAGGUAGUCUCUAGACUUGCCUAUAUAGUUAGCCACUUCCUAAGUCUAAUACUAAGAAUACUAGUAUAUUUGGCUUGGAGGGAUAUAUCCCUAGUGCUGUAUCUACUCUCGGACUCCUCUCUGUAUUCUUAUUUCCCCUCCAUGGCUUUCUCCUUGAACUUCACACUCACUACAACUUAAUAUUACAAUUCUCUCCACUGGACCACCAUCCCACAAGUCCCUUAUCCAACCUACAAAUCCAAGCCUGUUAACGUGCAACAAGCACACGAGGAGAUAUAAAUUUAAACCUGGCCUGUAUCAGUUUGGUAGAAUGCUGAAGCUACGACAUAAUAAUGAUAAUAUACUGUUUGCAAGUGUCUAAAGACAAGGUUAAAGAGUGGUCUUUCAAUUAGCAUAUAAAACUCUUUUCUUUUUUCUCCACUUUCUUGAAAUAUUAUAUUUACUCUCAACGCUAUACUUUAUAAUCUUAACAUCUUUUAGCUUGCGUCCAAGCUAUAAUUGUUUAGAGAACCAAGUUAAUUCAGAAAGCAAUCAGUUACCUGAUUCAUAUCAAUAGUCUGAACUGCGUUUCCACGAGUAAAUACAAUCGCAUGGUUUUGAUUCUCAGGUUUUCCUUCUCCAAGCUUAGGAUUUCCAGGCAACUUUAUAGAGUAAAUUUCCUGCAAAUCGAAUAUUUAAAAUAAAUGAAAGAAAAUUAGGAAAGGGACUCAAUAUUCUGAAAUUAAUGAACUGAAGAAUUGCAAUGGACAAAGCGUAGCUAGAAGUAACAGCAUAGUCAAAAGAAAACACCUAAUCUCAAUGAGCCAGCAAACUAUAACUUGAAGUAAGACACUAAAGCAGAUAAUAGAAAGUUACAGGAAAAUAGGACUACAGACUAGAUUAAAAGCCACCACAGCAAAAGCAAUAGAACAUGUAAUAAGAUGCAAGAAAACUUCAUAUUUUGUGAAGUUUCUAUGAAGUUAAUUGCCCAUGUUAUGCUAUUAAAGUGCAAAUAUUAACUGCUAUUGUGCUUUACUUAAUUUCAUUUAUGACUAAAUUUGUUGAAAGUGAAUGAACAUUUUUCCAAACAUUAAAAGCCUAUUCGCUAUUGCUAUUAAAUUCUGCUGCUGUUGUUUUCAAAAGCGUUGAUCGUAAAAGCUAAUGACAAAAAUUAUUUAUUGUCUGGUAAUAAGAUCCAAAUAAAUGACCAAAAAAAAAUCGCUACAUUUAUAAAAUAUCUGGUAAUUCUUUUUAUAAAUAUUAAAUUUCUCAUGAUUAAUACCCACUAACAAUUCAAUAAUUUAAUUUAACAAAUAUUAGCAUGAUAAAGUAAUGUGUUUGAAGUGCUGCUGUAAUAAAAAAGAUAAAAAAAGAAGUACAUUGAAUUAGAUUUAAUAUUAAAAGAUCACAUGCCACUGAAAAUUAAAAUAAAAAGAAAACUGACUAUACACAUAUAAAAUUAUAAAUAAGUAAAUUACAAAACAUUAAAUAAUAUGCCAAUUAGAAAAUUUAAAGAAGUUGUAUUUAAUAGAAUGUUUGUAAAUUGUAAAUAUGUUUAAAAGUAAUAGGGAUUUUUUGCCCAUCUAAAGUUUCAAAAACUGCUUUUCCAUAAUUCUCCAAAACUCAAUUUGCAGAAAGCAUCUACAUUAAUUCUUUUCCAAUUUGGAGACGAUAAAACACAGUUGACUUUUAUCCAAACACCUUAAAAAAAAUACUUUUGGGCCCAAUCCUCUUUUUUACCUCGUCCAACCUCAAUGCCAGGAGGCCUCGAAGUAACAUGGUCAUUUGAUGAUGGUCUAGAUUGAAAUGAAAACAAGCUUCAAUGACUGAGAAUUAUUGGUCUAGUAUCUCUUUAGUCUAUUUCUGGGCAUCAUUUAGUACUUUCUAGGCCUUUAAGAGUUUUAUAGUCAUCAUUAUACCAAAAAUUAGAUGCUGUUAAAGAAUUUUAUAACUUUAGGAUUGAGGCAGAUUUUGGUAAUUUCUGGCUUUGCUGGCAUUUCAGGUCCCAAAAUUAAAAUCUAUGUUGGGUUCAAUUCAUAAUAGAUCCCAAAAUCAGUUUCAUAGUUUUAUAAUGCAUUUCCCUUGCUCUUUCUGUAGGGAUGCUGUCAGAGUUUCCAUGACUUGAAUCAGAAACCUCCUAAUCACAAAGAAGGAAACCCCCACAGUGCACCCAAACUUGCAUAGAAUAAGAAGACAAAAAAAAGUGACCUUGUCUUUCCCAUUGAUAUCAGCCUUCACAAGCUUAGAGUAAAACUCUCUCUGUACGUUGCCAUCCUUUAAAGUUUCAAUGUCAUCAAUGAAAGCAACACGAAGAGCUUCAUUUCUGCCAAUACAAGUGGAUGAAUAAUUAUGUUAAGCACAUAGCACAACUAGAAAGUUCUCCAGUAGAGGGAACAUUGCCUCAUAAAAAUUCUUGAUUUAAACCCCAAGUGUGUGUGUGUGUAUAUAUAUAUAUAUAUAUAUUAGUUUUUACUCCACGUGCAUUGCACAUGAAUAUUAAUUGUUGGACUCGUUAUAAUAAAUUUAUUGCAUAUAUUCUUUCUUAUAUAAUUCUUGUAUACAUUAAUUCGAGAAAGAAGAUUUUACUUAGAUUCGUUAUUAUAUUUCAUAAAAUGAAAAAGAUAUAUUUCAUCUCAUUAUAAGAUAUCUUGAUUUUAUUUGUUAUUUUAAAAAUAAAUUAAUAAUAAAUUAAACUUUAGUUUUUAUAAUACCUCAUAAAUUUCAGUGUAAUUAUAUAUCUUAUUUAAAUAUAAAUUUUUAAUUUCACAAAUAAUCUAUUAGAAAUGAAAAUAUAGCUUAAAUGAAAAUAAAAUCAAGCAAAUUUAGAAUUGAUAUUUUAUAAUUGUAUAGCCUUUUAUAAACAUUCUUGGAUAUGAAUAAGCCAAAUUUUAUAAAUAUCUUACAAAUUUUUCCUUAAUUUUGUAAUAAUUUUGUCAUCAUUUAAAAUGAAUUUCUUGCUUUUACUAAUAAAGCUUUCUCUUUUAUUUUUAAAAUAUUUAGUAAAGUAUAAGAUUAUUAAUUCUUUUUUUAUUUUUACUGAAAUCAUGCCAACAAAAAACUUAGAAGUUAUAACAAAAGUAAUAACUUUAACUGUUCAAACAUUAUCAUAAAUAUUAAUCUUAUGAUACAUAAUUUUUUUCAUAUAAUUCACGAAAUAAGAUUAUACUUAAACUCAUUUUAUUAUUUUUAUAAUUCAUAAAUGUUUCUCAAAGAAAAAGAAGGUUUAAAAAAAUAGAUUAACCAUAGCAUGCAUAAUUUGUAGCUAAUACUCACACGUGGAAAGUCUAGCUCUAGUAUAUAAUAAAUAAAAUGACAAAAACUCAUUUUAUACAGCUAAGAGAAAAUAUAUACAAAUAAAAUGAAUAAAUAACUCUAACUGAAUUAGUUUUAAAAUAAUCAUUAGAUUAUUAAGGGAAAAAUUAUUUCAUGUUUUUCUUUGUAAUUAAUAGUUCAAUCAAAUCAAUUUCAUGAUUCAUUCUUUAUAUCUAAUUAUCUCAAAGUACUGAUUUUAGAUUUUUUUUAUAUUUCUUAAAUUAAUAUUUACUCUAGAUGAAUUAAUUGCUUAUUAAUAAGUCACAAGCUCACAAUCAAAAUCAUAAAGAUAAAUAUAAAACUCGUUAUAACAUGGCCUUUGCCACAAACCUUAAUAAUAAGAAGUGGGUGUUUUGCAUUAAUGUCCUCUCUUUGUGCUCUUCAUUCUUUUUUUCAUUAUUUUAUUAUAAAUUAUGUAGUCUGUAUUAAAUACUUUAUUUUUACCUAUAAUAAAAACAAAAAAAUAUAUUAUAAUUUUUUAGUGUCAUACUCUAUAAAAAGUCUAUCCCUAUAUUACUACUAUUUUUUAUCUUUUCCAUUAAAUUAUACUAAGUUAAAAGUACUUAUUUUAUAUUAUUUUAUAUCUCUUAUUAAUUAUUAAUAAAAGUAUACUAGAGUUAGGAUUCAGCUAAGAGUUUUUUUAAUCCUACUACUAUUAUUCUUUAAUAAUUAACUAAUUAUUAACUCAAUUAACAAAAGACUAUAUUAACCAAUUUUAAUAGACUAGUAUACAAGGACGUCUUAAUAAAUUUGCUUGCAUCCCUCCGUUCAUACUUUUGUAUAUGUUAUGAUUAUAUAUGUUAUGAUAUGAUAUGAUAUGUUCAUAGGAGAAGGGAGAAAGAAGGUAAACAAGGACGUAGGUAACUCACCUUUGCAUGAGCAAUGCAAUAUCAGCUGCCUCAGGUUUUUGCUCCUCUUUCUGUUUUCCAUAUAUUUGACAUGUAACAACAUAUGUAAACUUCAGAUCAACCUGAGCUCGUGCCUCAGGAGACAACUCAAAGCCCCCAGUGUCAGUUGCAUCAUUAUUUGAAAUUACAGCUUCAACAUCUGAUACCAGCAGGAAAGUUAAGAUGAUCGAAAAUACGAAGAACAGAAAAACAAAGUUGAAAAUACAGAAGCCCUAACCUCCAGCUGUUGCUCUUUCCAAAUAGCUUUGAAGCAUAAGAGCUUUUCUAUAGUACAUCAUCCCACGAACUGGAAAUACAAAUUAUAAUUCAGAAAAAUAUCUAUAAACAUACUUUCAUGCUUUGGUUAACUAAAUCUCCAUAGUAAACCAGGCAAGGCCCAACAUGACCAUCCCACAUGGUAUAAAUUAAUCGAAGUUAGUGCAACAAAACAAGUUGUACUUCCACCAUUCUCUUCAUAUCAAAUCAACCAAGAUUAGAAUACCUAAGGAAAGCCGUAAGCUCAGUUACAUAAAUAUUCACACUACUAUUGGUUGUAAUUCUCGUGUGUGUGUAUGUGUGUAUGUGCCUCCUUUCAGUGCAAGCCUUUCUGAAACAGAGAAUAGUAACAAAGAUAAAUGAAACAAUAGUUUAAGAAGAUAAAGAUUUUUCUGGUACAUUUCAGUAUAAAAUUGCAGAGCUAUAACUACAAUCUGGAAAAUGAACCCACAUAUAGGUGAAGAUCAACAACAGAAGCACGAUAGAGGUAAGACAUAAACGUUGCAACCAAUGUCCUUGACUAACACCGAUUAUAAUAGAAAAAUACUCCCUCCGACCCAGAAAGACGGUCCUUUUUUGUUCGUCCUUUUUCUAGUUGUUAGUUGAAUAACUAGUGGUAAAAAAUGCCCUAUAAAUUAAAUUUCAACUUUCUUACUUCAAAAUUAUAAAUUUUUAUUGAGUAAUUUUCAGUUGCAAUGACGUUAAAUCUUUUAAUCUCAAGAAAAUAGAAAUUAAAUAACAACGGAUGAGUUGCAAGUCCAACAAAAUUGAUGUGAAUGGUUGACACUUAAAACAUCUAACAAGGGUACUUUAGUAAGUAUAAAAAUUAAUGGUAUCAACUAUAAAAAUAUCUCUUAAUCCAUGUAUAAAUUGAAAGUGAACUAUCGUUUUAGGACGGAGAGAGUAGAAGAUUGCAAACCUUAUGUAGUCAGAGCCCAUGACCAAGAACAUAUACAAAGCAAUAAUUUUCUUACAUGCAGCAACCAAAUAUCAUUAACGAUAUGAUUUUGCUGUUUUGUCACCCCCAUUAUAAGAUAUUAACAGCACAUAGGACAGCAAGAGAAAAGAAAAUAGAUGGAUAAUACAUACUUCAGGAAAUACAAAUAAAAUGAAUGUUCUCCAACAAUUUGGGAAAACAAAUGGAGUGACAAGAAUCAUUUCCCAAUUAAUAAACCAACAACAAGAGAGAGACAGAGACCAUUUACCGGUUCUGGCCAAUGUUUGACCCCUGUAAGAGGCCCAAAACCGAAGUUCAAGGAUAUCACUAGGACUAUCAAAGAGUUCUGUGUCCAAGGAAUUUUCGUCACGGCCAAUGCGAGCAAGAAAGUUCUUCCACUCAUCUAUGGUAGAAUCCAAAAAGCAUUCAGGUCAUGAGCAGAAGAAUAAGAAUACAAUUCAAGUUACAAUUCCAAUUAGAUAAAAGACUAAUAAGAGAAAAGUCACAAUCAAAUUACGCCAGCAAGGAAUAUGCACCUUUUUCUGUUAUAAAUAAUGGGAAUUAAGACUGAGAUUGUAAGUAUCAUAAAGCAUAAUGCAAUCUCAAAGUCAUCGCAAGUUGAACCAAAGAUGGAAAACCACAUAAAAGCUAUGUUCAGAAAAGUAUGGAAACUAUUUUUCAGCUGACUGCCCCAUCUAUAUGAUAGAAAGAGAAAUGAGAAGAAAUACUGCCUAGUCUCAACAAUAAAAUGUCCACUACUAAGAAGGCAUAGUUCAAGCACAAGUAAGCAAGCAAGCAGGUAAUUAUAUUAGGCGAACAAACUAAGUUGAGAUGCAUAAAAGCACAACGAACUGCACCAUCAGAAAUGAAAGCAUAGAGAGCAAACCAACCAGAGAAUACCUGGAAAUAUCUUUUGGAGGUAAAAUAAAAUUGAUAUUCCAUCCUCAUUUUUCUUUAGAAGUUCAGCCAUGCUAUAAAGAACAAUCUCAGAAUAAUAUGGAGUAAACACACUGCACAUUCAAAAUAAAAGCCUUAGAUAACUAAACACUUCGACUUUAGAUAUGUGUGUCUCUAGAAACAGAUUAAUGCACUAGGGUUAACCUGAAAGAUAGCAUUUCACGGACUGGCUUUGCCUCGGGCAUAUCCAUAAAGAGGGAAUUUGUGAAGAACUCCAGCCUACGUCUGGCUUCAAAAUUUCUAGGAAUAUUUGAAGCGGAUUCUUUUAUGGUUAAAAGCGAAUGCAAUCUCUUGAUUUGAGUUCUCUGCACAUCUUCUCCAACUUAAUAAAACUUGCAUGAUAACGAGAAAAGGUUUACCAUUACUGAGAUUUAAAUAAAGAAAAGCCGGCAAUAAUAUACCAACUCAGAAUUUCUAGGCCACUUCAAGUCUGUAAAUAACCGGCCUUCGGACCUUGCUUCUGAUAGUAAAUUCCAUGUGUCAUAGUGCUCCCUGCAAUGUACUCCAUAAGAGAUAUUCGAGUCGAACGUGUAACGAAAGGUUCAAGUAAUAAGUGAAUAAAAGCAACUUUAGCACACCUCAUAAUGACAGAAAAAAUAUCAUAUCGCACAACAUCAUAGAGAUCUUGAAUAGCUUUGAUUGCUCCUUUUUUCAGCUCUGGUGUUUCAGGCUCUUUCUGACGAUGGAAUAUUUGAAACACAAUGAACAUAGGUGCUCAUCAGAAGCUUGUUAAUUUCAAUGCAAAGAUAUGUACAAUAAAAUUAUUAGCUAGUACCAUAACAAAAAUGAAUUGCUUUUUCUGUUAAAAUUAGUUGCUAUAAAUUAACAUGUUAUCAUUAUAUGUUUAAAGCUGGCACUCAAUGGUUUUGCUGAGUUAAUUCCUGGGAACGGGAGGUGUGCUCGUUCACUAGAUAAGAACAGAAAAUUACAAACUAAGUUAAUAUAGAGUAAUUUCAUAAUUAGCAAAGGUGCAAAGGGGUCAUGAAGCACAUUAGCAACACGCAUAUACACAAAAUUAUUUUACAAAAGAAUCAAAAUUCAUAACGCAUUUAAAUUAUUAUUAGCAAGUUCAUAAAAGUUAAAUUAUAAUCCAACCACCAAGAUGGAAAAAAGAAGAACAUGAAAUUUCACUUGUUUGUGCAUUUAAUAAACAGUUUAUUGAAUAAUUAAGAAACAAAGCUCAUUUAAACUCCAAAAUUCUUUUAAACAUUUUCCAUGCAUGCUCCUUUUACCAGGUCAUAUCAUCUUGUAACUUAACCAGACAGAUUGUUCUCCCCUAAAGAAAAGUCAGAAUCAGGACAAGGGCAGGGAAGUUUGAAGCAGAAAACUUAUAUCAACUUAGUGCAAGAGGCGAUGCAAAUUAGGGUAAGAGGAGUAUAUUUAAGGUGAGUGGAUCCCACAAAAGGAAGGAUUGGUUGCAGUUGACUCCGAGAAUGAUGGUCCGCAAAAUUUCUAGUGCUUACAGCAAUAAUAACAGUAGAUAUGGCAAGUUCUAUGGCUGUCACUCAUAAUUGGCCUUUGCAUCAACUAGAUGUCAAGAAUGUUAUUCUUCAUGGCAAUCUUCAAGAGGAAGUUUAUAUGGAGCAAAAUCUUGGUUUUGUUGCUCAGGAAGAGAAUGGGAAAGUUUGCCGUCUUUGAAGUCCCUGGGAAAGUUUGUCAUCUUCGAAGUCCCUGUAUUGUUUGAAACAACGUCUGUGUACUUGGUUGGGCGAAUUUAGUCAAGCAGUUGAAAGGUUCAGAAUGAAGAAAAGCAAAUCUGAUCAUUAUGACUGUUAUAAACAAUCUGAGAAUGGCAUUAUAUGUUGUUGUAUAUGUUAAGCAUAUUGUCAUUAGUGGGACUGAUACUUCAGGUAUUUCAUCUCUUGCAUCCUUUCUUCACAGCCAGUUUCGUAAAAAACAUUUAGCGAUACUAAAAUACUUCUUAGGCCUUGAGGUAGUAAGAAGUAAGAAAGGAAUUCUUUCAUAUCUGUUAGAAGUUGUAUUUAUCCCACAUCGUUUGGUUACUAGAUUGUUAUAGUGUAUAUAAGUAGAUUGGACACCCUCUUCCUAUGAGCUAGCUUUUGGGGAUGAGUUCUACUCAAGCCCAUUUAUCAUGGUAUCAGAGCUGGCCUUUUGUCUGCGACGGUGGGUCUGGACCUGGCCCAUUUGCAUAUCACGCUAAGCGUGAGGGAGGGUGUUAGAAGUUGUAUUUAUCCCAUAUCACUUGAUUACUAAGUUGUUAUAGUGUAUAUAAGUAGAUUGGGCACCCUCUUCAUUUGAGCUAGCUUUUGAGAAAGAGUUCUAUUCAAGCCUAUUUAUCAAUAUCAAAGAAAAAUAUGUGCUUGGUUUAUCAUUUGAGAUAGGAAAAUUGAGGGCUAAACAAUGUAGUACUCCAAUGCUACCUAAUUUGCAACUCAUAAUAGAUGGUGAAUUGUUUGAAGUUCCUGAGAGACACCUGACAUGGAAUCUAGUAUAGAAAGCAUGGUCGUGGUACUAAGCUUGAGUGUUUUUCAGAUGUUGAUAGUUAGGACCCAAGAAAGAUCGAAGAUCUAAUUCAUGAUAUUGUGUAUUUGUUGGAAAGAAAUUUAGUCUCAUGGAAGAGUAAGCAGCAGAAUUUAGUCUCACGUUAGAAUGCAGAAUCAAAAUGCAAUGCACAGUUUGUAUGAAAUAAUGUAGAUACAUCAUAUUUUGACUAAGUUAGGCUUUAAGAUUUCAAUUCCAAUCAAAUUGUGGUGUGAUAAUCAAACUGCUCUUCAUAUUGCUUCGAAUCAUGUAUUUCAUGAAUGAACUACGUGCAUUGAAGUUGAUUGUCAUUUUGUUCUUGAGAAAAUUCAGCAAAGUUUGGUUUCCAUAAGAUAUGCGAAGACUGGACAACAAUUAAGAGAUAUUUUCACGAAAGUUCUUAAUGGAGCUCGGGUUGACUAUCUGUGUAACAAAUUGGGCAUGAUUAACAUUUGUGCUCCAGCUUGAGGAGUGUUACAUCCUGAAUAUACAUGUUAGGAAGUUCGAUUAAUUAGUUCUCCUUCCUUGUAUAGGAUUGUAUAUUCUUUCCUAUAAUAGAAUUCGUAUUUUGUGUAUAUAUACAUACUAUUAUAGUGCAUGAAAUAAUAUUGUUUUCUCCCAUUUUCUCUCUAAUUACACCACUAAAAGUCUCGAGGAGUGAUGAGAGUUGAUAUUUUUCUCAGGUACAAAAGUAGUUGAUAACAUGUAAAGGAAAAAAGUAUUCUUGUUACGAUGUAUUGUGUUUGUAAAUCUUUCCAGAUCAAUGUAAUCUUGGAUAACAGCCAUGCUUAUGUAAGAGCAGUUUAGCAAAAGAAUUGAGCAAAACAUGGUGGAUAGUUUCAGUAGUUGACAGAACUUGUAACUUUCUUGUAUUUAUAUCCUUUGCAAACUUAUCAAGGAAUUAGGGAGAAGAUUUAUUCAGUUAUGCUCAUUGUUUUCGUCUUGUUCUUUACUCUACCAUAUCACAAAUACCUAGGACAAGAACAGAAAUAAGACAUACCAGAAUCCCCAUUAAUGCAGUUACACGAGUAAUAACCAGUGGCAGCUUAUUUAGCUGAAAGUCAACAUGAAUACUUCUCUUCUUAAUACUUUCUUGAAUGUCGCCAUAUACCCUCUCAACCCUGAGGUGGGGAGAACAAUGCAAAACUAUUAAUUCCUAUUGCCAGUUAUGUUCAAAUAAACAAAGUGCAAAAAUAAGAUUGUUCACAAUACUGCACUUCAAUGAAAACUUACCACAUCUUUCCUUCACCUUCCAAUAUUUCUGUUAGAAUAAAUCUAAGAGCAUGGUAGAAUUCUACGACUGCAUACUUCAUAUGGUCAUCUCUACAUAUCCUUUCCCACAGCUCAUCUUGUGAAUCUUUGUUCUCCACAGCAAUAUCUUUUGCCAAGAAUAUCUACAUAAAACAUCAUAAUUAACAAACAAAUAAGUCUAAGUUUUUAUACUUCGCUAAAAGUACAUAAUGAUAGAAGAAAGGAGAUGACAAAAGAAACAUUAUUCUUAAUGCUAAGGGAUGACCUUGCUGGCAAGAAGAAAAAGGGGCCACUGCACCAAAGAAAGAUUUCCAGAAUUUUUAGGCAUCAGAAGCAACUCCAUUUCCCUGCAAGGGACAAUUAUGAGAAUCAUCAGCUACAAGUAAAGGAAAAACUGAAAUGCGUAAGAGUAUGUAGUUAAACUUAAGUACAUAGAAAAAGCAAGUUUUGCUUUUACAACUAUUUUCAUCCAAUAGUACCUACAGAAGACAAUUCAAGCACAGAAGAUCAAAAUGGAAUUCCACCAAAGUUUAUAGCACCAACAGAUUGCGGUGAUGCAGAAACUCUGUAGAAGAUACGAAAAAUAAAGUCCCUCCACUGAGGAUUUUCUUGCAUACCUUUUCCUUAACUAAAGAAUACCAUAACUUUCUAUUACCAUAACUUUCUAUUAAGCAUUCCCUUUGGUGUAAACCAAAGAACGCCCUAGAAAAAAAAUACGCAGCAAUGGCAUGCUAAAAGAAAGUUCUAGCCUCCUAAGAAAAAUCACCAAAAAUUCAUUUUAGAUAAUUACACCAUAUUGUCUAAGCAUUUUUAAGUUUGCUAUUUUGUAUGUGAACUUGGUUCUUUAGCAAUCAAGUAAUAUUUUCAAUUGAACAGAAUGUUAAAAUGAAGUACUUUACCCAAUAUAUAUCCCUAUCUCUUUUACCCCGCUCUCUAUUAUAUUUUUUAUCAUUUUCAAUAUUCCAUAUCUCCUUUUACUAUUUCUACUACCACUGAACUCAAAUGCAGAUUUUUUAUGCUUUCUUUAUUCUUUCUUUUUUUCUUGCACUAAGUGAGAAGUAUUGGGAUUUAGGAAAUUAUAGUGUCAAUUAUAAUCAACUUGGAGAUAUAAAACUAAUGGUCCUUUUAUGCAGUUAGAGAUGACAAGAGAAGAAAUGGAGUUUCUUUAAGGAUGCUAAAAUAAGAAAAAAGUAGAGACAGAAAAAAGAAAAAAAGGAGGAAGUGAAAGAGAGGAAUGGAUGGCUAAACCCAGCCAAGAACAUUUCAUAAUGUUUUAAACACUUGAGCGCCAUAAAAUGAAAUUUAGACGUUUAUAUUUUGAAAACAAAAUAUAUUGAAAACUAUGAACAUCAAUGACACAAUUAUCUCUUUUACACAUUAACAAAAUAUGAAGGUAGCAAUUGAUCCUUUAUCUUUCAAAGGAUAUUUGAAAAAGAGCUAUUCUUUGGGACAAAGGUGAUUCUUUUCAUUGUUAUCCUACACAAAAAGGAAGAGGUCCCCUACAAGUGAAGAGACAAACAAUAUUUUAAGUAAAAACUGAAUGGUAACCCUGGCUCAACUAAUUUUUUAUUUGUCUCUUCAAAAUUACACCUUGACUUUUAUGGUCAUAAAACCACUAAAAGUUAAAUCUUAAGAAGUCCAAGCCGAAAAAUAUGAUGUCCGACAGAUUUCACAUACUAAAAAUUUUUAUAUACAUAAUGGGUCAUAAGAGACAUUUUUCACUCUCCUCUCUUUUGCGAUAAAAGAAGAAAAACGAGAAUAUGGACAAAGGUAGCCAAUUAAGCAUACAAGAUAUCUUCUCAAAGUCCAAUAUGACAGCAUUUUAAAUAUUUCAAAAUGACUGUGGCUGUUUGUUUAAUAUUUUCUUUUGGGCAGCCAAAAGAAUAUACAAAACAAUUUUGGUGGCUAACUAAGCAUUCAAAAUACUUUGGGUGGGAAUUUAUUUCAAUUUCAUCUUCAUGGUUAUUCUUUUAGUAAAAAGCAACAAUCGUGUCCUUUGAAAAGGUGAAACAAAUACAAAGAGAGAAACAUUCUCUUAAAAGAUAAAAUAGCGUAAUGCUAGUUCACAUCAUGCCAACUCCUUUUGGAACAUGAGCAAUAAUAUAUUUACUUUAAUUAUGAAACUCUUAUUGCAACCAUUAAAAAAGAAAUUCUUGAUCUUGCACAGAUGCAUAUAUGCAUAGCAUAAGUUCAAUAGUGAAACAGAAUCAUUUUUAGCAACCGCAAUAUAUGUCACAUGAAAAGCUUGUCCAGAUACGAGUAACAUCUACGGAAGUUACGAAAUCCAGUACUUACAGAUUGGUAAUAUAAUCUUCCUCUCUUAGACUUUUUAUGAUCUCAUUCCAAAAAGGAGAGAAUCUAGAAGCAUCAAUCUUUCUUUUCUCCACAGCCUUCAGAAACAAACAAAAUGAGCUUACCAAAUUCCUUUAAUCAACUAUGCUUCAGAAACUACAGUAAUGUAGACAAAAUAAAAUAACUAUGGCAUCGAGGUUGGCACCAGCAUAGAGUAGCAUCAAGUAUUAGCUCACUUUAAGUGUAUCUUCAAGCACAAACAUACAAAGAACAAAAUUCAAACUUCAACAAUUAAAAGACACGAAAAAAUAAUUUCUUCCACAUUCAGAGGACACAAGAAGGCGCACACCAACGGACUUUCAUGAAAUAAUCAAAUAAAUAAAUAUACAAGUUAAAAGUAUUGCAAGAACUUCAACAAUUCAAUAGAGAUUACGAUCACAUAUAAUUCAUAAAGGACUAACUCGGGGAACUUACAAACUUAUUACAUUUAUAGUUUUGUUCACAAUAGAAAUUUUUACGAUUUUAGUAAUUUAGUUGGCUCAGUUAAUUAUUCUCCUAGUACUUUAACUAUUGCUAAAGUAUUUUAGGAUUUCCAUUAUAGUAAUAUCUAGUCCAAGUGUAACUAGGGUCUUUCUUUUACCUUUUUCUUUUUUCCUAUACUUGUUGGAAAAAAGAAUAGCUCUUGAUUGUAACCUAACUUUUAUACAUAUAUAUGUAUAUGUAAAACUUAGGUUACAAUCAACAACUUUUUUAGGGAAGGGGUGUUUGCUUUAAGCCAUUGAUGAUUCUUGCAGUCUUCUUUGCUUAAAGCUUCUUUUGAUAAUCAUUUGUUGAGAAAAAUAUUGCUUAUCAUCGUCUCCUAACGAUUAAAGGAUGUGGCAUCUUGAUUGAGAGGAAGAGCGUUGCAACUCAAUUUGAAAGGGUAGAGGGAUUUACAUAAAAGAACAAAAAAUGGGAAAGAAGAUACUGAAAAACUUUUGGAAAAAAAAAAAAAGAUACUGAAAACUGUAAGACGUAGAAAUCUAUCAAUAUUCAGUUAUUCAUUCACCCCAAAAGACAAUAAAGGCUAAACCAGCGGGAGGGUAAUGGCUGAAAGAAGAAAAAGCUUAAAAAGGAUUGAGCCUCAAGAAAGCUCUAUCUAUUUGAUAUUGUCUCUCUUUCAUAUAUAGCAAAUUCUUUCCUUUCUUUUAUCAUUCCCAAUUCCAUCCUUCAAACAAUUUCAAUUAAAGAUAUAAAUAACCAUUAUUGGCUCUAGAUAUGGCUGAAGAUAGAAAUCAGUUCAAUGAAAAUAAGAAAUGUUGAUACAAUCCCAUGGUAACCGUAUGCCACAAAGUUUAGUCAUUAUGAAGCCAUGCUAAAUGAUACCAACGUCCACUUAUAAAAAUGUGCUACCAAGAGCUCGAAAUGAUCAAAGAUGGUGGAAAACCACCUAAGGCCUGCGGAAGUCCUUAAGCAUGUUGGACUAUUCAUUCCGUUUUUUUUAAGGGUCUCGACUGUUUUGUGCAAAACAAAAAAAAAGAAAUUCAUAACUCUAAAUUUGACUCUCUAACUUCUAUACAUAUUCCUUAAAGAUCUUUAAGACUUACACGUAACCCACUCUUGUUCUUAUCAGUCAUCUGCAAGUUGGUAUUAAAAGGAAAACUUUUACCUAGUUUUAUGGGCAUAAUGUGGAAUUUGGCACAACCUCUUCCACAACAAUGAUCAUGAAUUGCAUACUCUUUCAAAAGUAUAUUCUUCGAUCAUGAGCCUAGUAGAAAUUAUGUUCUUGGAGAUUUCACAAACAAUUAGUAUAUUAAUGGGAUCUUCCUAAGUUUGAAAAGAAUCCUGAUCUGGAUGGAAAUUUCUUUAUGAAAGAUUCAAUGGAUAUUUCAAACUCGACAUCUUGAACAACAAAACAUAUUGUGGCAUAGUUAUUGAAUCAAGUACAAUCAAGUUUACAAAGGGAGACAUAUAAGUCAAUCAUUCAUCAUAAAAAAUGAGAAAAUACCCACGCGAUCAACAAAAUCAAGUGAAUUUAAAAAGUGGAAUUCAAGAGAUAAUCAAUCAGGUAAUAAAAUAAAAAAAAAAUUUCUCUCCGAAAUAUUUAAUUGAAAUUAGAUUUAUUUUCUCUCACAAAUACAAAGAAACUUUAAAUGGAUUAGGUGGACUGUUGAAACUUUGCACUAAAGCAAAAGUUUAUAGAUUUCGAAAACGUUGGAUGCCAAGAUAAGUUUGGACAAAUUGAAAAGACAACAAAUUAAGUUAUUUAGAAAUCAGAGUUACUUUGGCGCAAGUUUCAUGAAGAGGAAGAACAUAGGCUUGAAUUAUAGCAAUCAACGCAUUAAAAACUCCUUAGGGUUAAAGAAAUAGCAUUGGAUGUUACUAAGAUUCAAGACAUUCAAUUGAAACUAUUGAAAAUCAAGAAAUUGAAGAUAAUUGAAGAAAGAAAACCACAUCUAUUUGGUGGUAUUAUUGGAAAACCCAGAAGAGCAAUAAUCAAUAGGUAGUUCAAAUUAAUGAUUUCAAAGUUAAACAAUAACCCAAAAGUGCCAUGUGACUCUUGCAAUUUUUCAAAUACUCGUCUGCACUAUAAUGAUUUUUUCAAAAUUCAUCAUUUCAAACUUACGAUGGCAAUAUUAUCCAUUACUAUUGAAAGCCACUCCAGGAAAAUUCCUAAGGGCACCAAAAUAUUUAGACUACUUAAUAGUUUCAAACAGUUCUUAGUUUGAAACUAUAAACUCAAGGUUGAAUUUUCUUCAAGAAGAGGACUCGGACAAAUGGCCCUUUGUGAAUAUGUCAUAUGAUAAUUACACUCUUUUUAUCACAGAAUCAGCAAUCUUAGUUAUUUCAUUAAAAUUUUUAUUCUCCUCGUAAUUCAAGUAUUCCUCAACUGUUUUAAACUUUUAUCAUAGUAUUUCUAAUCCAAGUGUAACUAGGGUUUUUCUUCUACCUCACCAAUAGAUUACUUAUCUACUUCCUUCAAUAUAUAGAAAGGCCAAUUUCAGUAGAUUCCAGUUGUUCUUAUUCGCGUAGAUUUCAUAUUUAUACUUUUGCAGAUUAAAGAUUAUUUAAGGUUUACAAGUGAUCUAGCCUUGCUUUCAUUCAUACAUCCGAAAAGGUGAUGUUGAAAUUCCAGGUGAAUUAGAAAGGUUUAGGUGUAGCUAGACUAACCUGACUAGAAGAGCUUUCAGAUGUCCUGCAAAAAAAUGGCCGUCUAAUGUAAGCUUGCAUAACUUAAAAACAGCAUAAUGAAAGCUAACCAACUAGUUUCAGAUAAGGAAAAAAACAAAAAGAUAUUAAAUAAGUAAUGAUCAUUUUUUAAAUCAUGGGGGUGUAAGAAACCUUGCCUGUUGCGCAGUGGAACAUGAAGAGUAUUCAUAAAGGCCUCAGGAAACUCCUCAAACAGUGUGUGAACAGCUUCCAAAGAUCUAAUCUGAAAAAUUAUGGCAGGACAGUGUAUUCAUGCAGAAACUUAACCCACAAAACACAAAGAAAAACAAGAGUUACUAAAAUACUUACUUCCCCAAGGCGGUCUCUUGCUCCAAGCAAGAAACCCCAAAUGGCAGAUAUGACAGUGUAGAAUAUAUGAAUAUCCAAAAGAUAAAUCUGUUGUAAAAGGAAAAGAAGCAAGAAAAUAAAUUCUAAAAGUUAAGCUAAAGAAAUGAGAAAUGCUGUCCACAUAAAACGCGUCAUUGGUUAUGCAACCUACUCCUUACUGGAUUUACUUAUUUAUUAAUUGUUUAUGUAAUUAGUUAUUCCUUGAAUCCCAAAUGCAGUGCAGACUCUUUUCUGUCUGUUACAGAAGGAACGAUGUUGCAACAAGUAUUCAUGAAAAUUUAGCAGCAUAACCAAAGCUAGUAGAGUCAAUUUAGUAUUAGGAAACAGUGAAGAUCUUCUUUGGGGUGCUACAAAGAGCAGUGGUAAAGAAAAUUGCUGAAAUUGAGUUUAUUGCAUAAAGAAUGGAUUAAUAAAACACUAACAAUUAAUUUUAUUUGGAUUUCAUCUUUGCUUGAGUUAUAACACGUGGCCCUGGCUAUGGGCUGGUCUCAACCCGGAACUUGAUUGGUCAAAACCAGAACCAGGCUUGAACCAGAACAGGAACCGGAGGGACCGAUUCAGGGCCAGUUCAGUUAGAACUCAAAACGGCAGUUCCAGUUCCAACCUGUGAAAAAGAAUUAUUUAUUAACUUUUACUAUAUAAAUAAUUUUAUUUAUUAUCUCUCUUAGAGUUACUCUCUAAAAUUAUUAAUUAUCUAUAAACUUUUUAUUUCUCUAGAUUAUCUCUCUAUAAUUAUUUAUUAUCUAGAAUUAUCUCUCUCUAAAAAGAAAACUACUACAUCAAUGAGCUGAUUAUCAUCCACAAAAUGAUAACAAUUACCAAGUCUAUAUGCCCAAAGCAACAGUAAACAUAUUGAGGAACAAUGAUUGAUAUGAGGAUAAAUACUUUUCUUCUCUAAAAAUAUCUGAGUUACAUGUUUUAAAACAUAUUUACAAGAUCAAAAACUUCUGGAAAUAAUUUCACCAAACUUCAGAUUUAAUCAAUUACAUGUAAAGCAGGGGGAGUUUAAUACUGUAUAAGAUUACUGAAGAGAAGAAGAAUAAGGAGUUCUUAAUGAUAUAUAUCAUUUUUCAACAUAAAUGCUACUUACAGCAACAACUGGAGCCCACAAAGUGACAACAGUCAAGGCAUUAUGAUUAUCUGCAAGCAUAGCUCAUAGAGUUCAGAAGCAGCUAAGCACUCAUGUAAUAAUAGACAGAAAAAUGUCAGAUUAAACAAUUUUAUAAAGGAUGGAUGCAUAAAAGAAAGCCUAGUCUCAAUAACCCUAAGAACUGUUACAGUAAAAUAUUAUACAUCAAUAACUAGCCAUUAUAACAAAAUUAUAACUUAGAUCAGUCAAAAAAAUUGUCAUCCAGUGUAACAAGGUCAUCUGCAUAUUGCUUCAAAAUAGGGAAUUGGGUGGAUAAACCACAAGGUGAUAAAAUUAUCUCCCAAGAGUAUUGUUGCCAUAGUUGUUAAUAAAGGCACAGGGCGCAUCAAGGCGUAAAGGGAUUCUGGACUUAGGAGCAGGUGCACACCUUACCGAAGCAAGGCGCAAAGAAAGAUAAAGAUAAAAUCUCAUACAAUAAAGCCAAUAAAACCUAUAACAUAACCCAUGCAUGAAAUCAUUAAAUAUAAAAUAAAAUACAUGAAUAACCACUAUGAGAAAACAUAUUCAAGAGACAUAAAACCAGAAUUAUAGUCCUAAUAAGUAACUCUAAUUCCAAAAGCAUCUUCCAUAAGACAACUAAUCAUCAUCAUUAAGCUCAAUACAGUCAUCUUCCUCUUCAUCAAAUUCCUCAUGAUCAAUUCAAUUUCCUCUUUCUCAUCUUCGUCAAAAUUAAUCUCUUCCCCAUCUUUAAGUACUAGAGGAGUAUUAGCCUUCUUUUGAGAAAAUGCUUUUGCCUUACUAUUUGCUAGGCCUAGCAACUGAUGUGGAUGAGGACAUGUUUAGGAGAGGGAGAAGUCGAGAGAGCAGCUACUUUUUUAUUUGGAAAGGCGGAGAGGCUGCUAUAAUCACUUCUUGAAGUGAUUAGGUGUGGAUAGGCAUAUGGUACAUCCUAUUUUUAUUUAUCAUUGAACAUCCAAUUCCAAUCAGAAAUCAAAAAUAAAUAAUUUGGUCUAACAUUUGUGAGGCACGCCUUAUUCGAACCUCAUCAAUUACUCUAAGGUGUGCACCCUAGGGCCUAGGGGCACACACCUCGGUUAAGUUGCCUCCCUCAAAGACUUUGACAUAAAGGCUUGAGCCUCAUGUGCAUUAAGCCUAAGGCGCAACUUCAACAACUAUGAGUAUUGCCAAUAACAAAUCCUAUAGCAACAAAUAAAUAAAAAAAUAGCCACCUUUAAAACACUAGAGGAAGUACAUUAAAUGCAUAACAAUUUAUGGUCAUGAUAACUGAUUAGUAACACAAGUUUCACCACAAUGAUAAAAGAAUAGGUUUAACGCAGAAUUAAAAUGCAAAAGAAUUAGCUUUACGUUUGGAUACAAGAUCAUGCCACGAAUAUUGCAGAUUAUCUGUCAUGCCCACUAUAAGCUUUGUUGGAUCAACUAAUGGCUUGAUCUGUCAAAAAGGAAUCCAGAAAGAAAUCAGAAAACAAGACAAAUAUAUAUAACUUAUCAAAUACAAUGUCACUAACCAGUAGAAAGUAGGCAAAUGAGAACUUUGCACUCAAAAUAACAAGCCAAAAAAGCAUAUACCUGCAUAAUAAAGACAGAAUGAUGUAUUCAAAUUUGUAAAUUCAAACUGUGAAUGGAGAUCAAAAUAAAUAAGCUCCACACACACACAUAUAUAUGUGUGUGUGUAUACAGAGAACGAAUAUAUAUGUAUAUGUAGAGAGAGAGAGAGAGAGAAAUUACUUGAGGAAGUCACUGGUCCUUUCGUACAUGCCACGCCCAACAUAGUAACGCUCCUUCAAAAGACCCAUUACAUAAUUAUUGCUGAUUGUUGAAAAAUACUUCUAAGUAAUUAAAAAAAUAUAAACAUAUAAUGAAACAAGAAGCCGCACAAUAAAAUAAUAGGAACAAGACCACAAGCAUAUAGGAAUAAAAGAAUUAAAAGAAAAACCUGACGCAUCCACUUCAAGAAACGGAUUACAGACCAAUGAUCACACUGAUUAGUCAUGUGGUGGCAAGCUGGUAUUCGCAUGAGGAAACUAAUAAAAAAUUGCACACCAGCAUAUAUGCCAAUAAUGAUCACAUACAGUCUUAAAAUGACAGAACUUGAAUUUUGUUCACUCUGUUCCUGGAGUGCUUUCCUGUAUUUCAGAGAAGAGAAAAGUAAUCUAUCAUUCACAUAUGACAAGCAUGACAUAAGUUGAGGAAUGAUGAUGGGUGGAAAACAUACACAUAAAGAAAGCAUAUGAAGACUGAAGCACUGCUAAACCAAGCAAAUCGCAAAAGAAUUCGAGAAACAGCAACACGUCGUGAUGUAGAAUAAGCACCAUACAUCAUGAGAACAUCUAAUACACCUGCGUCAAUUAGUUACCAACUUCAGCAACUAAAUCACAUUAUUUAAUAGCAAGCAGUAACAGACAAUCUCACAGUGAUCAUUCAUGACAAUUCACAUAGCUAUAAGAAAUUAACAAAUCUAACAGAACAUGAUAACAUCAGUUAUUGCAACAAGGGUCCAUACUCUCAAAAAACUUCAUCACCACAAAUGUUGGACCAAGACUCAGAACUUCCCUCAGGGUUUUGGAGUUGAAGCGUUCAUUAUUAAAAGCAAAGAUGGUGAGUCCCUGUAACAGAGAAAAAGAUGCUUGAGCCAUAAGAAUGGUAAGACUUCAUCAGUGAACAAGACAAAAACUCAAUUGUAUGUCAUCAGAGGGGAUGAGAAAGGACGAGCUGAAGCAAAGCAUAGGUGAUGUGUGCAGCAUGUGAUAUUUUUUAGCAUGCGGAGUACAAAGGAUUUUGUGCAUGACAGCAAAAGCUGUUGAAUUGCACAAAUUAAAGAAAUAAUUUCAAAGAAGCUUUUAAUGAGACAAGCUAACCUGAAACAUCAUAACGAGAAAAAUCCAUAGACGGUGGAAACUAUGGUAAAGAUGAAGAAAUGUCCGAUGCUCAACAAACGAAGUUUUGCCUCGACGUUGACUUCCAGCAGUUUUUAGCAGAUACUAUAAGAAUUUAGAAGAGAAGUUAGGUUUCAUGAUCCAAAUGCGAUUAACAUACCAAAAAAACAAGAAAAAAGAAAAGAAUAGAACAAAAAAUUUACAAAAAGAAAACAUCAUAUGGAAUACGACUGAGUACUUUGAUGAAACACAACUGUACAAUGUUUCAUAAUGGAAAUUCUGGCUGUUACUGAGCAUUUGUAAACAAAGAAAACUGAAUAUGAAUAAGGUUUACAGAAAUUGGCUGUAUAGAUUUAUUGGGAUAAACUAGAAGCCAUUAUAACAGAAAGGUUGACAAAACUAAGAUGGUCCCUAUGCUAAUACUAAGAAAAUGUUUCUUCAGAUGCAUCAGGCAUUCUAGUUAAUAUGCCACCUCAUAAAACCUGAAGGGACAUAAUUAAAGUAAUUAUUUUCACUACAAUUCUAGAAAAUUGGUUUUUCAUAUAUAUUAAACAUUCCAGCAUUGAUAAGCCACCUAAUAGAAACCAAAAGCAACAAGCCAAAAAGGUUGACUAAGACAUAUUGAUAUUAGUUAAUUGUGACCUAGAAUUCUUUCACCAAGGCCGAGCAAUAUUCUCAUCCAAUAGAAUUUUUGGAUGCAAUCUCAGAAAAAUCUAUGAUAUAAAACUCUAAUUAUUGCCAAAUGAAUGGCAUUCUAGAAGCUCUCACUCAAAGAAGGACUUCCUCUACUAAGAGCAAAGUCGGUGGACAUAUUUCAUGUCCUCCUACUGAUGUUCUUCUAGUGGGUAUAUUUAAGUUGAAUGUUGGACAACCGAAAAGUAAACUCCACCCUCCCAAAUUUAACCAUUUGCUGCAAAAGUCACAAAAUCAUGAACUCGGAUGAAAAAAAGGGUCUAGCAUAAUGAUGGCCAACAUAAAAGUCACAGCUUUCUUUCUCUCCUGCUUUUUCUGUUUCCUCUCUCUAAACUCAAAAAUCUAAAUAAUAUUAGAGGAGAACCAUAACGGGAGCAAGGGCGAGGACAAGGUUUCUCAUAAAAAGAUUAGGACCAUUAAUUGGAUAGAGCUAACUCGAAUGCGAUGUUUGGUAAGUGUAAAUAAUGAGGGGAAGAAACUAAGGGAAAGUAUCUGAAAAAGAGUUAGAAGGUGGUCCCCGAGCAAACAACUAAUAUACUCUCACCACACCCACNNNUUUUUCAUUUUAAUUUUUCCUUCACUUCACAAACAAGGAAAAAAUUACUACUCAAAUUUAUUUUCCCCACUUAUAAUGUUUCCUUCAUUAUUUUCUAUUUUUCAAACAUAGUGGAAAUUUAAGAAAAUUCUGUUGCUUUAUGGGAAAUUGAUGGUUCUUAGUAUGGCCAACAAAAAGAGAUUUGAAUUUGGCUAAGUAUGCAACCCUAGCACCAUUACAAAAUUUAAUCAAACCUUCACAUAUUUGUUUAGCAAGGGCCUACCUGCGAUUUCUGAGAAUAAAUUCCCAACAAAUACCAAUAAAUGGACACAUGUAGACCAAAGGAGACCAAACUAACAAACAUUCAUAACAGACUAAAGAGUUUCAAGAAUUAGUGUUUCCCUUAAUUUCUCCUGUUAAUGCCACCAUACUAAUGCAAUCAUUUAGUAGAUAAGUUUUAAUAUAUUCCAAGGGCUACAAAAGACGCCCCUAAGGUUACUUAAUAUACACUGAUCCUUGUCGUUAUAAAGUUAGAACUUUUAGCCCCUAAGGUUUUGGUCUCUCUACACUUAAGUCGUUGCUGAUAAGAGUAUAUGAUUUUUCUUAUACUUCAGUUCACUCCUCCACACUUGAAAUUUGACUAAAGUUUAAUCCUAAAAUGUUAAAUCUAAUUGCAGUUCAGUCCUGACUUUUUAUGUUGUAAAAGACUUUAGCCCUCAAAAUUAUGUGCUUUUUAUCAAUCAUAGUAGAAGGACAAAAAAUGCUAAUUCUGAAACAGCAGAGACUAAAAUGCAUAUCAAGGUAAACCUCAGACGUGUUUUACUUAACCCAAAUCCCAAUUGUUGUUUGCAACUUCUAAGUUGGAACAGACAUAAAUCUCCAAGAAACUUCCUUCACCUUUUGCAACAACUAAUUGAUUUGCAGUCAAUUUGAAUCAAAUGCUAAUCAGCUGUACUACUAUAAUGAAUUUCAGCACCAAACAGAAAAACCAAUUUCUCACAUGGGCAAGUUUCUAUAAUGGUAUUCAGAUUGCUUUCAAAUAUUGAAAAGUAGAAAAGAAAGAAGCUCAAUGUGAUAAUAUGUGCUCCUUGGCAUAGAGUGAAUCAAGAAGUUAUUACCAAACAAAAUCCUAUGUAUAAAAUACAAUCGAAAUAAGAUAAAAUAGAGAGAAUGAGAGUAAAAAAAUUCAGUGAUGCCACACAAGGAAGACUAACAAAAAUAAGCAGUAAUUUCAAAUGGCCUGUUAUUCCAUGGAAUGCUAUGGGCCCAUAUCAUGAUACAAUGAAAAAUACUGCUUUAGGACCUUAAGAGAGUAGAAGACAGACUGCAGACAUCAUAUGCCUGCAUUCUAAACAGAAAAUUCAUUAGAAGCAUCAGUGGCAGUGCUUCUAAGUUCCAAUCUGAAGUCUGUACAAGGAACCAGUGACACCAGUCCCUGAUCACAAUAUACAAGUUUAAGACACUGUAGGAAGGAAAAUCUACAAAAGAUACCAGCAACAACCCAAAUAAGAACCUCAUUGAAAAAAUUUCUUUGACCACAGAUUGCAGAAAGCAGAGGCCUGUCUCUCAUCCAUGAAGGCAUAAAUCAUACUAUAAGUACAAAAAGAAUAAACAGAACAGGUAGUCUCCAGAAAUUUGCAAUGUGCUCUGUUACAUACAGUUACCUCUAUGUUUCAAAAAGAAAAUAUCUUUUUAAAAAACAAGGCACUAUGGUUACUGAACGGAAAUACUAAUCUGGGAAAUACAAAUUCCAGAUUACUACCACGCCAGAGAUAAAUAUUCUUCAAAAUAUUAUGAUUGCAAAGAUUGGUGGUAUUCUGCAACAACUUGCAAUCAGAUGAUUAAAGCACCAAGUCCUAGAAAGCUUAAAGAUGCUGAAAUGGGGAUGGAUGAUAAUGCACAAAGCUCAAUGCAAUCAAACAACAAGGUUUGAAAGCAACCCACACGGAAUCAAACAAUCAACAAUAAAAUUAGCAGUGGACAAGUUAUGAUUUUGUGAACCUUUGUCCUUGGUUUGGGUUUCUGGAAAAAGGAUGAGCUCUUCCGCCAUGGCCAACUGAGUUCAAAGCAAUGAAGUGACCUGGAAAAUGGAAGCAAGAAUAAAAAAACCAUUAGCUAGAACAAGGAAGAUUUUAGAAUACUUCAAACCUAGUACCAGGUGAACUAACUUUGAGGUACCAAAACUAGGUGGCAUAUACUUGCAAUUUAAUUUGAACAAAUUUAUAGUUCUAUAGAUAUGUUAUAGCUUACUAAAGUUUAAUUAUUAUUCAACGUGGUUGAAAUGGAGGAAAAAUGUGCAUUUUUACAAAAUUUUAAGCCGAACCAUUUAAAGUACUGCCAUAUCAUAUAUAACAUGACAAUAACACCAAGCAAUAAGUUGAUUCUUUUAUUUUACUCGUACAAAUUGCUGUAACAGUUCAUUUCACAUUAAGAAUUGCUUACAAUAGAUUACAAAUAAAUUUAUUUCGAUGAAUUCCAUAAAACUCUGAAAUAGUUGGUAGAAGACUACCCAUGUUUGAAGAAUCUUACCAGAAGUACUCAUUAAAAUCAUCAUAGUUUCUCCAAGCAGAAUGAGGUGCUCGUCCAUUCUCAUUGUUUCCCGCUUCCUAUGUGUUAUUGAAGAUAAAUAUAAAUCAAAUCACAAUGUCUUCUCAAAAAAAGAAAGAAAAAAUAAAGCACAAUGCAAACUUAAAAUGCAAUCACCAAUGAUAGUAUUGUAUCAACAGGGUAAUAAUUCAACAAACCUAAAGCUGGUUUUUAGGUGCAGAGGUAGGAAGCUUUAUCCCAAACAGGAAGAACUGCUGAAACUUCUAAAUCAUUUAAAUUAACAUAUCUAUAUGACAAGAUAAGCUUCACAUGAAUAUGCCAUAUGCAAUCACCACAUGUAGCAAACAAGUGACCAGGUUACAAAGGCCAAUAUUACAAAAAUAAAGCCUAAUUGAAUAACUUGGCCUUAAUUUAAAAUAUAGACUUUAUUUUUCCCCUCAUAGUUCCAAUGUCAGGUCAUGUAGUAUCAAGUAAGGUAAGCACAGAGUACUAUUUAUUUUUGCUUAGAGUUCUAUGCGCCACAGCUGGGGUCCUUCAUCCUUACAGUUCCAGUGCCGGUUAGAGAAAAAAACAAAAAGCCCUCCCUCCUUAAGAAGCUACUGAAAUAAGGAUCACCAAGCUAAAAAGCUAGUAAGCUAAAGCUUUCUUUAUACCACUCACUACAGAUAAAGAAGAAAAAUAGAGGAGGAACUAUUUGAAUUGAGAGAGGCACUCUAUUAGGAAAAGCUGCUUUGCUUCUCUUGCUGCUGCUCCUCUAGUUCUAGAUAGUCUAAUGGGGAUCAGUCAGGCUAUCAUUUCAAGAGGUCUAAUGUUGCUUUCUACCUUCAAUCCACAUUUAAUAUUACCUUAGGCAAUCAAUCUGCUUGAAAGCUUAUAUCAGUGCAUCUUUUAGCAUCCAAUAGGAUACAAGGUAAUCCAUCCAGUCCAAAAACCAGUUCCUAUAGCUAAUUUGUUGGACUUGUGCGCCACCAUUUUCUUUUCUAGGAAGGGGCAGUAUCAAGUAUAGUACCAUCAGUCCCUGGCUCUAAUGUUGAACCACUAAGUGCCUUUUUUUAAUGUCUUGUCAGAGUACACUCCAAUUACAUAUUCAUAUGUAAACUCACAGAAUAUAAAGCUAAGACAGAAAUUAAUGCGGUUAAUUAUACAUACAGAAGAACAUAGUCUAUGUCAAAUUGCAAAGCAACUUUCUCUAACAGCUCAAUACAAACUUUCUCUGACAGCUCAGUACAAGCAGCAAUAGUUCUUACUAGUUUCCUCCUUAAUGGAAGGGCAAUUAUUUGAAUUCAAAAGUCUAUUUUCUACAAAUGCUAUUUAAUCAUUAUUUGGAUUUAAAAGUCUAUUUUCCAUGAAUGCUAUUUCACAUCUGAUGUCAUCAUAUUCCUUAAUUGUUAGUCCAGGCAUUCCUUCUUAAGUAUGUUUUUGAGAGAAACAAGAACUGAAUAAGGAGUAGCUCAUAAACUUUAGCUACCAUCAAUUUAUACAAUAUUUAAAUACAUACAUAUAGCAAAUAAUGCUAGCCCUACUAUGAAUUUGUAAAAAUAAGCAAAAUAACUGAAAUUCAUUCUCCAACAUAUAUUUAACGAAAUAUAUAUAUGACAAUACUCUUAUCAUAAGAAAUAAAAUGUGAUUUUCUGGUCAUAAUUCAGUAAUGGUCGUAACAAUUUUUUCCAUAUUGAAAACACAAUAUUUGGAAUUAAGUUUUAUGUUACAAAUUUGGAUUAAUUGAAUCUUAAGAUUUAUUCCAAAGGAAAACAAAAACAAUGUAUAGUGCAAUAGCUUCCUUUUUCUAAACUUAAUAAGUGGAUACAUAAAGGCCAUAAAAUUAAUUAGUAUUCUUCUUCCAAGGAAAACCUACGAAUCAUUGAUCAUGAAUCAUUCCAUAAUGGUAAGUAUUGUCUGUAUCACUCAGUCACAGUUACAGAUGCUACUACCGUAAAUCUGAAAUUGACAGCAACUUAAUAGGUAACCCCUCUCAGUCUGCCAAGAUUCCUGUGAGCCAGAAGAUAUGAGACACUAAGGCCAUCAUUCAAACACUGGUCAGAACUAUAUGCUUUGCCCAAGAUGAUAACUUUCAAAUUAAUAAUGGAUUAGGCUUGCCAAUGAAGUCAAACAAAAAAAUCUCAAUCCACAAAUGUUGGGAGAUGAACCAAAGGAAUAAAUAUCUUCCACUUCUUAGUGCAUUCACCAGAUGUUCUAAAACAAUGCAUUAGAUCAUAUCACUAAAGGGAAACAGGAACUUAUGUGUAAUCACAUGUCACAGAUAAAGUUUAGCAGAAUGUCAACAAGAGUUAUAUCCAAAAGGCAAAAGAUGGGGGGUCAAAUAUAACACUUACCGCUGCAACAACCUCGUAUAGGGGAGUAAUAACAUUAUCAAGGAAAGACACGCCAUUCUCAGAAUUGCAACUAUUUGCUGGCUGUGCACUUUGCUGUCUCAAAAUCUCAUCCAUCUCUCUCACCAUCUGCAUGUCAAUUCUCAAGUUUAAGCCUUAAUGUCAUUAUGGAAAAAAGGGAAAACAUGAGCCAACCAUUUGGAAUAUUGCAACAGUGACAGAAAAGAAUUUGAAUAACAGAAAUAAGAUCAAAAUGGUAAAAGAGUGUUGAUGGAAAUUUCAGCAGAGCUAGAAAAUAAGGGAAAGAAAAAAAACAAAUAAAAGAUAAAUUCUGAGUAAAAAACAUUCAUAUCCAGUGCAAAGUAGCAAAAGAUAAGUCCAGAGAACCCAAUGAUCAUUAACUCUUGGAUUGACUUACAUGAUGAAAUAUAUAGCACAAGCAUUCUGGAAGGAAUCUAAUAUUAGCAGCUUCCCCCCAUAUCAGGAAAUAUAAAGAAAGGAAGAGUAAUUUCUUUUCCUUGCUUACAGACUCCAAACUGCACACCAUUUUGAUACAUUAGUUUCAAUUGUUAUCAUCAGUCAUGAAAUGAAAAAGAAGAAUAACUACUAUUUCACAGUGAAAGAGAAUGAAAAUAAGUUUAGAAGUCCCUACUUGCUCCAAACAGGUUGAAUGUUUAAAUAGCUGCACCAUUUUGUGUAAUUUUCCAGUGACUUUAUGAAUACUCUCUGUACCGCAGCCUCAUCUAAUUUCUGCACAAAAUCAACACAAGUGGUAACUGGAGGAUGACAUCAUUUAAAGGAAAUAAAUCAAAAGAAAAGAAAAGGCUGUUCAGAGCCUUUGGAUAAAUUAAAAAACUUCAGGAGAUUAGCUAAUUAGCACAAUAAAACAACUACAUGCACCAGCAGUUUGAUGUAUGUAAAAUUAUGUUCCAGUUGAGUUUAUUUAACCGUAGCAUUAGUAUUGCAGGUGAUGCCCUUACGACCAAGCACACCUUGAAGAUAACACAUUCACAAUUUUCCUGUUCUAUUAGGCAUUAUUUUUACAAUUUUUUGACAGAGAAUUUAUAUUUAUUUUAUAUAAACACUAUAGCAGUUAAAAACUGGGCUUGCACUUAAAAAACAAGAAAAAAUUCCUCAGGAGAAAAUAUACAGGAAGGAUCAGGAAAAUCCAAAUAAUACAAUACACUGGCAAAACUUUGCAAAGUUACAGAGAACAAGAAAAGGUUGGCAAAGGGCAACCUGACAAAGUCAUUAAGGAUCCUCACUAGAUAAAUAACUGAAACUUGUAAGAACAUGUCAGACGUACCGGUUCAGUUUCAUCAGGUAUACGAAGGCGAGAUUGCUCAUUUGCAAGGAGGUGAACUACAUGUUCCCGCUGGUUAGAUACAUUGUCUUUCUGAUAGCCAUUAAGUUCAAAAAUUACAAGCAAGAAAUUUGUGAGUCAAAAGGAUGAAAUGUUGAAGAGAAUCACAUAAGUUAAGAACUAAGAGAUAUUGUUUCCAGAUAUUUUCAAAGAUCAGACACAUCACUAACUGCUCAAUAUGAACAUUUAAUCAACGCUCUAUCAUUCCCUUCUUUUCACAUUCCACAGACACAAUAACAAAGUCUCAUAACUUGAGACAUGUACAACUAUAUAAGUGUGCAAUAACUGUUCCCCAUACCAAUAUGGAACCAUCAACUUCAUUUUAUUUCAGAUUUAAUUCAUUACCUGCAGAGAAAGAUAACCAUUGAUUUAUUCCCUUGUUUGCACAAGUAAGAUGGUAGGAUGGGCAUAUAAAUCAUCAGAGUGCAAUUUGAUUGCAUUUCAAAUCAACUAUUAUAGGCCAACAAGUGGAUUUUUCCAAUUUACAUCAAGAACUCCAAAUACAGUUGAAAGAAAGAAAAAUAACACCAACAUAAUCAACUAAAGAUUAAUGACUCUGAAAGUUUAAAAUGGAUUAACUGUUAUUACUGCACCCUCAACUUAAAGGUAAGCAUGAAUCAGAAGCCCAACAAAGAGAGACAGGAUCGAGAGGCUAUCCAAACCUACUGCUCUGUUCCUCAAACAUAGCAUUGCUGGAAAUUCAAUUAGAAAAUUAUUUAGUUUCAUAUCAGGAAAGGCUCUCCUAUUUUUUUAGACCACAGAGUUUUUUUUAGUAAAAAAGGAUUUGGAAACUGUAAGGCCUUGUUUAGUUCUGGAAAAUAUUUUCUACUUUCAUUUUCUAGUUUCCUUCUCCAUUUCUUAGUUUUCCACUUAUUUAUUUUCCAAACUGAAAAUAACUUCUUAAAAAAGGAAAAAGAUAAAGAAAAAGGGUUUGACUUCAUUCCUUAGAUUUAAACCUAGAAAUUGCAAAUAAUUGACGCCGAAGUAGAAAAGCGUAUUUUCCGCUUUGUUCCAUUGCUUUGUAUUUUAAAAUGAAUUUGAAAAACUAAUAGGGAUAGUUUUUUAUUAGCAGUGUAAAUAUAGAAAAUUUGAAAAAUACUUUUCCAAUUUUCUUUUUAAGAAAAAUUUUCAACUAAACACUAAACUCUGUUUUCUAAUUUUCUCGAAGUAAUUUUCUAGAAAACAGGCUAAAUUUUCCACAACUAAACAACCCCUAAGCUUUCAGUCAAACCCAGGGCCACGUUUUCUUCUUAAUUAAUGUAUAAUGUUGAUAUUUAAAUACGGAGAUGCUUUUCUCAUUCCAAUCGCCUCCCUAACAAGCUAAACUGUCCGAAGCCACCUAAACCUAGGUAGAAUGGUAUGUGGAUUACCACCCAAUUCUUCCCGGUUCCCUAGAAAGCAGAGACAGAGAAAAAGAGCAGGAAUAACCCGAAAACAACUAAAAAAAGAAAAAGAUCAAGUAAAAAAGAUCAACCUCAUAAAUCACAUUGCAAAAACAAAGUACAAACCUGAAACCCAAACAUAUAAUGGAGAAAAUCAAGCAUAUCAGCAUGCCUUGCAGCAGGAAUAGAAAAGUCAGCAGGCAGCUUUGGCAGACCUGGGAAAUAUUUCAAGGCUGAAACUGCUGCUUGCACCUGCACAUAAAUUUUGUCUGAUGAAAAACGGACAAGCAAAAGAACAUAAACAUGAGAUUAGAAAGAAUUUAGAUUACUUCAGGGAAAGCCACAAUAGCAUUUGUUAUAGUAGGAGCAUCCAGCGGAAUAAUGUUAUAAGCAAUUAGGUCCUCGGUCAUAGCUGCAUCAGAUUCAAUCACUCUCUUCAGCUGCAAGACAUAGUAAUUUUAUACAUUAUCACUAGCAUCAAAUGAGAAUAUCCAAUCAUAACAUGCAUAGAAAUUACUUGAUUAAAUAAAUUCUGAAAAGGCUAGAAAGAAAAACAAAAUAAAAAAGGUCAAUGUGGAAGAUUAUAGCACAAAGAAAAUAAAAACAUGAAAGAUAAAUAUUCAAAAUGAAAAAAUGAAGAUGAUUUCCAGAUACUGCACGAGUUCAUCAUGCACCCAAAAUUAGUAUGAGACGAAUGGAAGUAUCUGGAAAAAGACUAAAACAAAAAGAUUAUAAAAAAAAAGGAGAGAGGUCAUCUUUAGAUUAGAUUAUCCACAAGAGAAAAAUUAUAUGCAUGCAACCACAUACUUAGAAGCACCAACCUACUAGAGCCAAGCACAGGGAAGAUAAAUGCAAGUGCUUUUAGAACCUUGGCCAAACAAUGGCAAGAGAAAAAGAGGGAAUAAAGCCCAAGAAAAUAACACCAAUGAUCAAAAAGCCCCUCUCACUCUUUACACAAAAUUUCUAAGAGAUCCAUCCAAACCUUAUGUCCAACAUUUGAAACAUCCACACCACUUCAAAACACCCCAUUCUUCCUUCUAGUGCACGCAACAUGCAGCACAAGAAAAUUUCAAAAUUUUAAAAUAACACAACCAUGUUAGUACUUUCCAGUCAUUUUAGUCUUUUACUUGCACUUCUUAAGUCAUUUAGCUGCUGGAAAAUACUAUUGUUUGCUUUUGUUAAUAGGAGGCUGGUUGAGAGAGGAUUUUGACUGUACAUGACCUCCAAGAAACGAGGGAAAAUCUUACUGAAAACAGGUAAAGAAUAAGUCAUCAGCUGGCUUUUCUAUGAGGUUGGACGAGGGUCCUGAUUCCCCAUGUUUCUUCUCAGUUUGGAGGGAUAGGAGGACUUUUAAGGAGGGAAAUGCCACCAAAUAAUCCUAUAGAAUAUUCUAAUACUUAUUAGUUUCUCAUAUAGUGGAUGGUUCUCUUAAGACUCCACAAAACAUAGAUUUUCUGACAUUAAUAUUCAUAAUUGUAUCAUGUUUAACUGAACCUCCUUGAAGCCAUAUAGUGUUGGCUUCACUUACCACAAAAGAGAAAUUAAAAUACUUUUAAGCAAAAAAAAAAAAAAGUAAUGUCUAAUUCAAAAGACGUAACUAAGUUACAGUAUGGUAUGUGAAAAGAAAAUAUUGUUUGAUAGGACUGUGGAACCAACCUCUUCAGGAAUAUCCUUAGUCAGCUGCUCAAGUACCGAUCCUAUAACCUUCAGAGUUGCAAAAACUCUUUUUCUCUUCACUGUUUUUCGCUCCAACCUAGAUAGGAAAAUCAAACGGAAGCAAAGAAUUAUGAAACAGAAGAAGAGGAAGAUGAAAAAGGGAGGGGGAUGGGGGAUGGGGGUAAUUUUUUCUCUUUUAGCAGACCUUUUUUUUAUUUUUUAUGAGAGGGAGUAGUGGCAUUUUCAGCAGCCACAUUAAAAACACAGGAACAAGAUAACAUGAAGCCAAAACUCAUCAAACAACAUAAUGUUUCUUUUUUUAAUGAAAGCAAGCUGCUCUGUUGUGCAAGGCAAUGAUAUAUAAUAAUCAUAAAACGGUAUAUUUAGCAAAAGAAAUAGUCUCCCUAAAUAGAAGCUCCCCUUCCAUCCUAUGGGAGAGCUACCUUGAGUCUGUUCCCUCUCUCCGAGAUGGUUAACCACUUUUAACCGUGAGAGAGAGGUCAUUCAAAACCAACAAUCUGCUGACUCCAGAGCCAGUGGUAGGUCCCCACACAGAUCCCAAUUCUUUAGCAAGUUCAAGAACAUUGUGAGAAGGAGAAACAAAACAGGCAGCAACAUAGUUAUUAAUAAUUUUUAUUAAAUCCUAAAUUCUACUCUAACUAAUGAACAACCCUUUCUAUUAAGCUCCAAACUACUUAGCAAUAAUUUUGGCGAAGUUUAAUCCUUCAAAAACAAAGUAAUUCAUAUUGCAAGUGAAAAAUAAACUUAAUGCAAAGUAAAAUCAACAUAUUUCUAUUCCUGAAACAUACUCGCCCAGAUUUCCACUGAAAGUGCCAGACUCCCUUAGCUUCAUUUCUUCUUCUCGCAGCUUAUCUACAUUGUUAUUUUCUCUAUAGAGCUUGUAAAAUUCUUGCAAGCGAGCAAUGUCCUGACUUCUAUCAAUGGUCCCACCAUCCCUCUUUGCAAGCUUUUGCUGAAAUUUUCUCAAAGGAACAAGGCACAUGAUAUUAGGACACAUAUCUAGAAAAAACAUCCAAGUCAUAAAUUACAAAUCCAAGAAACAAAAGAUGCAUGAUAAUUAUUAAAACCAUUUGGUACGCAAAAAAUUUAGCCAAUGAAUCAAAGGGAAAUCAUUCAUCCAAGAUUCAGAGAAGAAAAUAGAUUUUUAAUAAAUUUAAAACAAAAGAAAGGAAGAGAGAGAGAGAGAGAGAGAGAGAGAGAGAGAGAGUAAGACCCAAGAGAGUCGCCACACCAGGAUUUUCCUAAUAUUAGAAGUAGGAUCUGGCUCAAGGUGAUAACUAUUGGCUAAGAUAUGACGAACAAUAAACUGUAGGAUCAGGCCUUACUAAUACAAUUCCGUUCCCAGAUAUAUUAGUCUGUAUAAGCCAGUACAGAUAAUACAGUCUGAUAGGCCCUUAUAAGCUGAAAUACAUUGUUCUUACCAACCCCAUUUCUCACCUAGACAACAGCUUAAAUAACUCGUCCUCGCUUUCAACCUGCUAAAACCUAUUUUAUCAUCAAAUUAGUCCUUUUUCACUUGAUUCUUCGAGGAAUCGCUAAAUUUAAAGGUUUGUUGCAAAAGCUUUUUGCAGAACAAGGUGUUCUUUUUGGCCUUCUUACUUUGUUUACUUCCUUAAAUCGACAAUAAAUUGCUAGACCUACAAGAUCAUGAUGCUAUUUUGAGCAUUUUACUUAGAUCUACAUAACUAUGAUUUGCUUCUAGUGUUAAGUUGAGUCAUUUUGCUACCUUAUCUAAAACAGCUUCAUGGAGCAACAGCCAAAAAUGGUAUUGGAUUAUGCAAAAUGACCAUCAUUAAUACUAUCAUUUAAGACUCAGGGCCCUCUCUACAUUCAAUUCUUCCAUUCACCUGUUCAGCUAUAGUUUCCUUCUAUAGAAGAAGAAAGAAUGUUCACACAUGAAAAGCAACAUUGUCAAAGAACCAUUCAACCUAAAAGCUUAAACUUCUAGCGCUCCAGAAGUAGUUUUUAAUAUUCUCUAACAAAGAUGACAGAAAUAGAAGAUAUUAACUGACUAGAGCUACACCUUAAUGACAGACAUCAAACCAGUCUUGAAUUGUAGUACNNNAUUAUUAUGCUAGCAGCAAGCAAUUGAGCCAAUUUUAGUAAGAAAAACAUCAAAUUCUAUGAAACACUUACAAAUUCUAGAGACAGUAGGAUCUUCGUCUUGAAUUUCAUCGGCAGCUCUUAAAAUAGCAUCAAUGUCUCUAUUAUUAGCAAGUGAUGAGGGUACAUAUCCCGCAAUGCCACCACCACCACCACCAACCGGCCUGCCCAGCGCAUCUAAUCUUGUUCUUUCGCUCCUUAAUGCGGCCCGCACUAAUCUCUCCCAUAAAUCUUCCACUCUAGACAUUUCUCUUAGCUACUAGCCCUAAGAAAAUAAUAAUAAAUAAACAAAUCAACAAAGCCUAACUUCGAAUCAAAAUUUUUACAAGAAAAUAAUAAUUAAUACAUGUCAAGAUAGAGGUAUAUUAAAAAUGGUAGCAAUGGCAGUACCUGAAUCGCUAUGCUAAAAGAGAAAGAGAAAAGCCUAGAUACUGAGUUCAGGGGAGUUGAGUCGGUCUCUCUCGUCGAGUCGUGGAAAAUGUUGAUAAAGGUGGUGACUUAAGCGCUUUUUUUUUUUUGCUUUAAUUUGGCUUUUGAAAUUGAAAGUGAAAUUGAAAUGAAUAAAUGGAAAAGGGAGACAAAAGAUCUUAUUACAAGGCCAGGCUGAAACUGUUGAAACGUUGGAGUUACCGGGCUUUCACCGGUUAUAGCCGGUUGUACACGGGUUUUACCUUUCUGGUAUUUACGACGCGGAGAAGGAAACUAUCAAAAUCCUUGGCACGUGAGGACCAGCGACUUGACUUGUGGCACGUGAUCGGAUGGCAUUGGGUAUGGGGGAGAAGGUGCAUUUUGGCCCUUGAUGUUUAGAUCUAGGAGCAGAUUGACCUCUAAUCUAUUUUUUAAAAAUAAAUAAUAAAAAAGAUUAUAUUUUUAUGUUAUUUUAGCUCUUCAUUAGACAAAAAAUUAAACUUUUAUUAGUUAAAUGUUGUUGUGGCAUAUAUUCUUCUCCUCUUUCUCAUUCAUUUCUUGUACCCUUGUCCUCCUUUUUCUUUUUCUUUUUCUUCUUCGCUAAUUUUCGUUUAUAAAAGUCAGAUUAAUUGAGAAGAAAAUUCUAUCCGUCGGCACAUGUCCCAACGCACCAACUAAGAAUUCGUGAAAAAGUUUCAAUAUAGCCAUAAAUAUGAUCCAAGGUACCAACACAUAGGUUAUGAAGCGAGCAAUACGAAAGUACAACCAUUUUUAUCAAUCUCUUUUCUCAUGCAUGCACACUGCAAAAAGGUCAUGCUUUGUCUCAUUUCAUAAUAGUAGAUUUUAUGCAUACAAAGUAACUUUUAGUCUUUUAAGUUAAUUGUCUUUGAUCAUACAUCUAUUUGAUACCUUUAAAGCAUCUAACAGCUUUAUAUCCUAAUAUAUUUUUUUCUCACAUACUUGCACACCAUGCACAAUUGCUCUAAUGGACUAAUUUUUUAAGUAAAAUAAAAGCAACCCAGCACUCCAUAAAGUAUGGGUGUUUGUCAAUGCAUAAUUUUCAUGACAACUUUCUGCAAACCACUAAAAACUGCUAUAUUUCAUAAGUCUGUCUUAUUAGCUAUUAAGGUUUUUGAAAUAAAAUUUGUAAAUCUUAUUUUAUAAUAGCUAGUUUUGUUUGCUUAUAAAAAUAAGCUUUAUUCAUAAAAUUAAUAAGGAAAGAAUAAUAUUUAACUCAAAAACUCUCAAAAAUGUAAAAGUAUUUAUUACACAUUUUCAUCUUUUACUUCUUUUCUUGUGUAGUUCAUAUUUAUGGCUUUUCAAAAUAUAUGUUGUUGCAUUAAAUUUGCAUAUUAUCCAUCUAGAAUUUUUCUAAUUUUAUUUUAUUGUUCGUAAAGGUCUCCAAGCACCUGUGUUAAGCUUCCUAUUAUUAUAUGGGUGAUACAGCCUCCCAUUAAGAGUUUGUUGGAGGUCCAUUUGUACUUACUGAAGCAAGUGAGAGGUUAACAAAAGCCUAAUAAUUUUCGUAGGUUAGUCAGAGUGGGUGUAACUCAUAGACCAGGUAAGGUGUCUUUUUUGUUUAGAACCUUGUAUAGCUUGAUCUCUAACCAUUAAUAGAGUCAAAUAGUGAAGAAAAUUUUAAAAUGUGACCUUAAGGACUAAAUGUAGGUCGUAAUACGGAACUAGGUCAUAAUUCUUAGUCGCUUUGACUCUUGUACUAAAAAAAAGGUCCAAUUUAUCCAAUUUAUUUAAUAUCCUUAUCAAAUGUCUAUUAUGAAAAAUAAGAAAAAAAAAUUAUUUGAUAGAUAUUUGAUUAUUUUAAUGCGUGCAUAAAAUAUUUAUGGCAUCCACUUUCCUUCACUUUUCAUAUCGAAAGACUUUUAUUGGAUGUGAACUAAUUUACAAUAGUUAAGGUAUCUAUUAAAAUAGUUGGCUUAUUGCUGUAGAUAUCUGAAGUAUUUUUUAGUAUAGUUAGAUAUUUUGUGUAGUUUGCUUCAAGCAGUUAAUAAAACUCUUGUAAAUCUCUUUAUAUAUAAUUAAGUUGUCUAUUGCAUUAUCAAUAGAAUAUCAAUCUUGAGAUGCUUAAUUGAUCAUAUAACGUAAUUAUACUCUUGAGAUUUCUGCUUAAAAGAGAAUAGACAACCAACUCAAAAAUUUUAAAAAGUCCAAUUCACUCCCCUCUUGGACGUCUAUAAUGUUUGCUUAAAGUCCUAUAGUAUCUGGUGGUUGGAUGCGAAGAAUGGAGACGCGAGAGGUGGCAGGAGGUUUACAUGUCGAGGAAGGAGAGGGAAGGACCUAGGGAAUAAUUUAUCAAUGAUAAUUAUUAUUAGCCCCCUUAAACUAUAUACAUUUGCUACAACAUACCCAAAACGUAUAUGUAUAUAUACAUUGUUAGUACAAAAAGCUAAUAAUCUAGAUUUUAAUAAUAAAAAAAUAUUUCAUGUUUUAUAUUGUGUAUAUGGACAUUUAAUAAUGCAUGUAUAUAGUGGAUGUGGCAAGAUGACUGACAAAGUAUAAAGUUCCAUUAGAUAUCCACCUUAAUCAAAGGCAACAACAAAUUCCCCAAACAAAAGUCUACGUGUUAGAAAUCUCCAUUUAGAAACUUGUGCAUCUUAGAUAUCUCGUUAAAUGAACCAAAUUACUUUUCUAAAAUAAAUUUCUUGCACAUCAUAAAAUUUCAAAUCUUUUUCUGAUUUUAAAUCAUGAAAAGAUAUAUUUGACUUUCUCAAAGUGAUUCAGGAAGCAAAAAUUCUUAUUCCCUUGAUACCAUGUUUUAAAGAUAUUUGUUUCGAAUUAGACAUCUAUUUGAUAUCUUUAAAGUAUCUAUCUAUUAUCUAGUGUGACACAUCAUUUUCUACACAAUUACAUAUUUAUCACAUGUGUCCAAAUGGCUAAGUUUUGUUAGGUGAAGUAGAAGCAACCUUACACUGUCAAUUUUAAUUGUCAACCAUAGUGACAUGCUUUUUCUGACAACUUUCUGCUGAUUAUUGACAGAAAGCUAUAAAGUGUGUCAAAUGUCUAAAUCAGUAGUUGUAAAGUUCUUUAAAGUAAAUUUUGAAAAAGUUUCUUUAUUUAUAUAUCUAAACUCCUUAAGAAAUGUCUCUAAGAACUAGUUUUUAUAUUGCUUUAUAAAUAAAGAUUUCAUCUAUCAAAUCAAUAAGGAAUAAUAAUCGUACUCUCUAAAACUCUCAAGAACUGAAAAGCCUUAUCACUCCUUAUCUUCAUCUUCUAUUCUUAAGUGUUUGCAUUUAUGAUCUUUCAAAAUUAAUUUUUCUUGCAUUAAAAUUGUCUAUGAUCCAUAUAGGAAUUCUGUUCAUUUGUAUUUAUUGCUUUCAAAAGAGAAAAUAUUUUAUAAGGUUUCCAAGCUUCUUGUGUUAAAGCUUGUGGUUUGUAGGGUGACACAACUUCCUAUAUAAGAGUCUGUGAGAGAUCCAUUUGCACCUAAAAGCAAGUGAGAGGUUGAUAGAACCUACUAACUUGUGCAGGUUAUUCAUAGAGGAGAUAUCUCUAACUGUAUAAAGUGUCUUAGUAUUAGAACUCUAUAAGGUUUGAUCUCUAGUUGUUAAUAGAGUCAAAUAGUGGAGACAAUCUUAAGGUGUAAUUCUUAAGGACUAAAUGCAGGUCUUAGUAUUGAAUUAAGAUAAAUCUUUUUGUUGAUUUUUAUUAACUUCCAAUUCAUUAGACAUCUGAUAUUGCUACAUACUUUGUUAAUUGUCUAUUACAUCUUAAAAAUGAGAAUUUACUACUUAGACAUCUAAUUAUUUUUAAAAGAAACAUCAGAUAGCUCUCUCCUUACAUUCUCUUACUCAUAUAAUUUACAAGAGUUGACAAGUUAUACCAAUUGAGGUAUUAGUUGAAAUAGUUGGCUUACUGUUGUAGGUAUCUAACAUGAAGCUUUCUAAGCUUAGUUAGAUAUAUGUGCAGUUAGCUUCAAGCUUACAAUAGAACUCGUGUAAAAUUAUCUUAUAAGCGGUUGAAAAAUAGUAAGGUACCUAAGCCAGAAAAUUUUAAAAAGUUCAAUUCACCCUACCUCUUAGAUGUCUAUUACACACUCUUAUUUUGGUACCAGAACAGGUCUAUGUAAUAUAAGGCUUAACAUCCUUGAGUGAAGAUCCAAGAUGGCUACUGAAAAAAAUAAAAUAAUCAAUUUUAUUCAGUUAUUGAUAUACUUCACUUGGACCAAUAUUAGAAAUGGACCAAAAGUUUCAGUCAAAAGAGUGGAUAAAUAAUGGGUUUCUAAAAAGGAAUCUGAAUGUACAAAAUUUGACUAGCAACAUAUAACUUGUAAUGCAGAAGCUAUAAACAUCAUACAUUGUGCUCUAAUAGACAUCGAGUAUAAUCGGGUGUCUGGCUAUAAAAUAACGAAACAAAUAUAGGAUAAGUUAGAAGUAAAUUAUAAAGAAACAAACCAAGUGAAGGAAUUAAAAAUCAACCUUAUGAUAAGAGAUUAUGAAAUGUUUUUUAUGAUUGCAACUAAGAGCAUUGCAUAAAUGAAUAUGAGAUUUAUGGAUACAGUAAAUCAAUUAAAGUCUCUUAGGAAAUAUAUCUCAGGACCAAAAUAAGUAAAAAAGCUAUUGAAAUCAUUGCCUAAAUCUUGAGAUUCCAAAGUGAUCAUAUUAUUAGAGUCUAAGAAUUUAGACGUCUAUACAUAUGAUGAAUUAUUUGGAUUUCUAAUGACUCACGAGAUGCUAUUGAAUAAGUAGGAUGGUGAGACAUCCAAAGAAGAGAAAAAGAAAAAAGGAAUAGCAAUGGCACCAAGCUCAUAAAAUACUGAUUCAGAUUCAUCAGAUGAGGAAAUGGUCGCUAUCACUAGAAAAAUGAAGAGGUUCUUCAAGAGAGGUAGUCCAAAGGAACAAAAGAGCUUUUCAGAAGUCUAGUUCUACUAAACCAAACACUGGAAAAAAGGAAAAUUAUGAUGCCAUAUAUUAUGAAUGCAACAAGCCUGGUCACAUAAAGCCUAAUUGUCCUAAACUCAAGAGAAAAACAAAGAAGGACAAACAUAAGAAAGCCUUAGCCACAUGGAAUAAUAGUAAUGAUCUAUCAAGCGAUGAUGAGACGUCUGACAAAGAAGAGAAAGCCAACCUAAGUCUAAUGGUAGAUACAGAUGAGCAAUCUUAAUUGGACAAUUAGAUAUCUAAUUUUGAUUUAGAUGAUUCUGAAAAUGUAUUCAAUGAAUUAUUUUGAGAAUAUAGAAACCUUAAGAGGAAGUACAAUUCUCUAUUGACAAAACUCAUAAAAUUACAUGUUCAGUAUUCCGUCACUCUUGAAUUAAAUAAUUCCUUGCAUUUUGAAGUCAUGAAAAAUAUAUUUCUGCAAGUGAAACUUGAAAAAUUAAGCAGUGAUCUAUCAUGUGCUUUGACUUAAAGUAGCUAUCUGAUUCAUAUAAAUGAAUAAACAACUAAUCAUAAUGAUAAGUUACGGGAAAUGUUGAGCUUGAAUACUUCUCUCAUGACUAAGUUAAAGGGUGAAUCAUAAAGUUUCUUAAAAGUCAUGGAGAAAUAAAAGUCUGAUAUUAAUCGGUUGAUCAAAAGAAAGGAAAUUUCUUUUCCUACCUCAAGGUCUAAAAGUUUUGAAAAGACAAAAUGGUUUAAUGAGGGUCAUAAAUCAAAAUUGAUUGACAAACCUUUUCAUAAAUAUACUACUUCUUCAUCUAAGUUUACUAAGACCAUUUGUGCCAGUAAGACAUACAUCCAAAAGCAUUGUACUCAUUGUCAUUAUAAUGGGCAUCUACUUAAAACAUGCUUUAGGAAGUUUUUAUUUUGAGUACCAAAGGGUCCAAAGCUAAAACUUGCUGACAAAUCAGGACCCAACAUAGAUUGGGGACCUAAUCUGUAGAGUUAUCUAUAGGUAUGUCUGAGCAGUAUAAAGAAACAAAUGACUGGUACAUUGACAGUAGCUACUCGAGACACAUAACAUGGGACUCAUCCAAAUUCUUAAAGUUAGAUAAAACUAGUGGUGGAUAUAUGAAAUAUAGAGAUAAAAGCAAAGGAAGGAUCAUAGGAAAAGGAGUUAUCAAAUCAAAUCCUCAAAUUGAAGAUGUUUCACUUAUGGAAGGGCUAAAGUACAAUUUGAUGAGUGUUAGUCAGCUAUAUGACAAAGAUAGUCGAGCUAUAUUUGAGGCGUCUUACUAUGAGGUGCAGUUAGUCAUUAAUAAUUAGACCUUAUUUAUUGGUCCUCGAAUGGGUAACGUAUAAGCAUUCAAUAUGAAUUCUUGUAGUGUCAAAGACAAAUGCUUGAUUACUGAUAGUAGCUAGUUUGUGGCACAAGCGUCUAAGACAUUGUCAACAUGCAAUUAAUUUCAUAACUAAGUCAAAAAAAACCUUAUUAUAGGUAUACACAAGCUGAAAUAUAAAAAAGAUUAUUUAUGUAACGGAUGUUAAUAGAGAAAGCAAACAAAAUCUAUUUUAAAGUUAAAAUCCAUUGUGUCCACAUCUAGACCUUUGAAAUUGCUGCUUUGUCACUUGUUUAGGCUAAAAAAAUUUCAGAGUCUGAAUAGUAGUAAAUGUGCAUUUGUGAUAGCAGAUGACUAGUCACAGUUCACAUAGGUUAUAUAUUUAUACAAAAGAGUUCAUAAUGAAAGAGGCUAUUCCAUCACAUUUAUUAGAUGUGAUUAUAGAGGGGGUUUGAGAAUGAAAUGUUUGAUUCUUAUUAGAAAGGCUAUAGAAUAUAUCAUAAUUUCUUUGCCCUAAGAACCCCGCAACAAAAUCGUAUGGUAGAAUGUAAUAAUAGAACUUUAGCUUAAAUGGCUAGAACCAUGUUGCAUGAGAGAUACCUACUAAAACACUUCCGGGCAGAAGCCACAGAUACAGCUUGCUACAUACUAAACAGAGUCUUAAUCAGACUAAUUCUGAAUAAGAUACCUUAUGAGUUGUAGAGAGGAAGAUAGACAAAUCUAUCAAUUUUUCAUACAUUUAGUUGCAAAUGUUUCAUACUGAAUAACAAGGACUACCUUAGAAAGUUUAACUCAAAAUUAGAUGAGGAAAUAUGUCUUGGGUAUUCAAUAUCAAGGAAAACAUAUAAAGUAUUCAACAAACAUUCUUUAACUAUUGAGGAAUCCAUGCUAGUUAUUUUCUUUAUGAAUAUAAUCAUACUACCAGAAGAAAUUGUAAAGAUAGAAAUUUAGAUGGAAAAAAAGAAAAGAUGGUGAAAAAUGAGUAGAUGUUUAGGAAGAAAAGGCUAAAGAAAAGGAUGAUGCCUACAAUGAUGAUGUUGAGACGUCCAAUCCAACUUCUUUAGACAUCUCCAUUCAACAGACAUCAUACCUUCUAAAAGAUUAGAAGUACCACCAAUAUCAUCCAAGUGAUAAUAUAUUAGACAGUCCAUUGUAAGGCAGAAUGAAUAGAGCAAGAUAUAGACGUCUACAUGAAAAUGUGACUUUUGUUUCACAGAUUGAACCAAAACCGUGUGGUAAGACUUAAAUUGAUAAAAAUUAGAUAUCUGCUAUGCAAGAAGAGGUAGAUCAAUUUGAACAAAAUCAAGUUUGGAAGUUGGUACUUAGAAUAAAGAAGUAAUCUAUCAUUAGAACUAAGUGGGUAUUUAAAAAUAAAUUAGACGAUCAAGAUAACGUUAUAAAAGAUAAAGUUAGAUUAGUCCCCCAAAAGUACAACUAAGAAGAAAGUAUUAAUUUUAAUGAAACUUUUGCUCAUAUAGCUAGACUUGUAGCUAUUAGACUACAAGAGCUACCCAUUCUUUUAUAUCUCUUAGUUUUGCAAUAAGAUUGGAUAUUCAACCAAUUAGGCUAUAGGUUCCUACGUAUGUGACUAUGACAUUAAGUGAUGCUUUAGAGACAUAUAUCUUUUUUUGGUCGUGUUCGGUUUCAAUUAAAUGUCGUGAUCUGUCUACAUAUCUGAUUUUCUUAGAUGUCAUGGAUUUUGAUGUAAUUUUAGGAAUGGACUGGUUGGAAUUGCACUAUGCCAUGUUGGACUGCUAGAAAAAGCAGGUGACUUUCUAGAUUCUAGGAGACUCAGAGUUUCACUUUAAGAGUGAUCAAAUUAUUGCACCAUCAAAUCUCAUAUCAGCCAUUACAACUAGAUGAAUGCUUCAAUGUGGGUGUCAAGAACUGGCUUAGGGAUACUUCAGCAGAAAAGGCAGAGUUGAGGAUGUUCCAGUUGUUUGUGAGUUUUCUGAUGUUUUUCUAGAGGAGUUUCCAGGAUUACCACCUGAUAGGGAGAUAGGGUUUUGUAUUGAUGUAUUAUUAAGCACAACUCAUAUUUCCAUGCCAUCUUACAAAAUGGUACCAACAAAGUUAAAAGGGCUAAAGGAACAAUUGUAGUGUCACGACCCCACCCGUGGGCCCGUGACCGGCACUAGGGAAUGGGUAGGCUUAAGGCCACCGAAACCCGUAGUAAGCCUGACACUCACUGAUUUAAACAAAUCUCAACUCAAAUUUAUAUUAUUAAAACCAUAAAUUAUCUUAAUAGUUACACUUUACAAAAUUACUUCGGUCUACCAGAAAAUACUAGGCGAGACCCGAAGCUCAGAAAAAUUUACAACUGAUACAUAUACUAAUUACUACUGCGGAGAAUCUAAGAUUUACCAAUUUACAUACCAAAUCAAAUACAUCACCCGAUGAUGAAGGAGUCGGGUUACUGAAUAAGAGUCGCGAGAGAACUAACAGUCACGAAUCUGAAAAACAAUAAAUGGAGACUGUCAGUCUCGAGAGUGAGUUAAAAUCAUACAUCUAAAACAGUUUCAAAUAUCUCAAUGUCACAUUCAUUUAAUUUUAAAAUAAUUAAUAAAUCACGCGAACCAUACGUGUCAUGUUAAAACAUAUGUGUCAUGCCAUGCUUAAACAAAAUUUAUUCCACAUGCAACGGGACAGAGUACUUCAGUAGAACUCUAAUCCCAACUCUAAAAUCUCGAUUAUUUCAACACUUAUGUCUCAACUAACCUCAACUCUAUCAUCUCAUUCCAACAGGACUGGCGCCCAGAGAGCAAAGCUCGACCAGGGACCUUACCUCCAGUCCGGUCACUUAACUCUCAGCCUUAGCCUUUUGGCUCUCUUAUCCAAUAAGACUGGCGCCCCGAGAGCAAAGCUCGACCAGGGACCUUACCUCCAGUCUGGUCACUUAAAUAUCCAAAUAAGAAAUCUAGUAGCCAUUCGGCUCUCUUAAUCCAAUAAGACUGGCGCCCCGAGAGCAAAGCUCGACCAGGGACCUUACCUCCAGUCUGGUCACUUAAAUUUCCAAAUAAGCCGGCGCCCCGAGAGCAAUGCUCGACCAGGGACCUUUACUCCGGCAACCACACUCUACUAAGCCCAGAGAGCGAUGCUCGACCAGGGCAGGUCCUAAUCUUUCUUUCUUAAAAUUUUUACCUCUUUACCCUUUUCUUAUCUCUCUCAUAUUAUAUUGGACACUCAUCCAACUCCUAUGUUCUACUGCCGUCCCAUCCUGAGUCAUCAUGCAAUAUUAAAAUUGGUAAUAAAGGAAAAACAUAUUUAAAUAGUAAUUAAAAGCAUCAUGCAAAUGAUAAUAAUAAUAAUUGAAUGAAAAAUUGAAAUUGCAAAUAAAUAUUCACAGUAGCAAAUCAAAUUUUAUGCAUGACACGUGCGUAAACGAUAUAUGACUUUAACUCACAGAAUUAGGCGACCUCCUAGCUCAGCUUAGGUGUCUCGGUAGGAGCGAGCCGAACAGACAGAUCAUCUAAUCACGGAAAACAAUUUAUCAAAACGAUGAAACAAUUACAAUAGAUCCUAGGUCUAGAUUCCUAGGACUGACUGUCUAAGAAUCUCGACUCGGGAGAAUUCUACCGAAAAUCCGGCAGAACCUCCCCUACAACACGAACAUUACCCCCCGUAAAGACGGGUCCAGGACCUGCCAGAAAAACACUCCAAAUACUUACAAUUAAAACAACGGGAGUCGGGUCCCCAAACUUCACUAUUUCCCGACUCCGCCACACAGCACAAAACACAGGGCAGGCAACUGACAGACAAUUAUUUAUGACUCACAAAAUCAUCAAAUACUCAAUAUAACCCAAUAGACACAAUUAAACCAAGAAUUUCUAAAAAUAACAGGCUAAAGAAAAUUACCGAGACGCUCGAUCGCUCGGUCGACUCGCCUCCAGCCGCCGGAGUCCGAUCGACGAUCCGAACACACCAUCGGACUCACAACGACGCACUGAUGACGAUCCCCGCUUCCGAUUUUCCAAUCUGACACUCGAUCGUCCGGAGAGAUUUGCGGACGAUCUCGACCGUCGAUUCGCAAACGAAGCCCGAUCGCCACGAAACCAGUGCCAUCGCGAAGCUUGAGCUGAGGAGAGUCGGGAUACAUCCUCCGAUCAUCCAUCCUCCGCCGGAGCUGGCCGGAAAAGCCCAAACACGCCGGCUGCCACCAUUUUCUCUCUCCACCAGAUCUUCCGUCUCCGGCCACCACAGGCGUCGCCGCUGCUACCAAAAGAAAGCCCUCGCCGAGAGGAGCCGAUCGCCACCCAACUCGGCCGCCAACAACGCCGGAAACGGCCGGAAACACGCCUGGAAGCCGCUGCCACACGCGCGAAUCCGCCGCCUCACGCUGCCGCUGGAGCCGCUGCUGCCGUCGCUGCUGCGCUCGCCAGCGCACGCCGCUCCGUCGGCCAACGCUCCACGCCUUCGACGGUCGCCGCCGACGCCUGCAACGUCCCCUUCUCUCUCUUCCCAACGCCGCACUCUCUCUCUCCUCCUUUCUUCUUCCCCGACUUCUUUUUCUUUCAAUAUCGACAUUAGGCCCCCGAACUUUUCCUUAUUACAAUUUGGUCCCUCAACUUUCUUAAUUACUUACAAUUUCAUCCCGCAGAAUUCCAAUUUAACCCCCAAACUUCUUUUUAGCCUUACAAUUAAGCCCUUAACUAUUUAAUUUUGGGCCAAAUUAGAAUUACUGAAAAUACACAAUUACAAAAAUACCCCUGACCGACAUAUUUAUUUACGAAAAUACCAAACUCACAAAUUUCCAUUAAAACCCCAUAAAAAUAAAAUUAUACUUUCAAUCCUUAUUCCAAAAUAAAUUUCCAAUUUAGUCCUAACACACAAUUAAAUUAAAUAAUCAAUUUUUCCAAAUUUCUUUUAUAAACACAUCCUUUACAAUUCUACCAUAAUUUUCCAAUAUAUAAUUUUACUUAUAUAAAUAUGCAUUUGGAAAAAUUUGAAUAACCAAAAUAUAAUCAUUUUAAAUUAAACCCAAUAAUAAUGAGACUAAAAUUAACUUAAAUAAAAACUCAUUAUUAAAUAUAUAAAAAUUCCGGGUGUUACAUGUAGGACCUUCUAGAUAAGGGUUUUAUCAGACCCAGUACAUCUCCUGUCAUAUGACUCGAUCUGUAGGCCAGUGACUGGCACUAGGGAAUGGGUAGGCGUAAGGCCACUGAAUCCUAUAGUAAGCCUGACACUCACUAACUUAAUUAAAUUUCAUCUAAUAUUACUGAUGUCAUAAUUUAUCUUAACCAUUAAAUUCUACAUAUUUAAUUCGGUUUGCCAGUAGAAUUAGGCAAGACCCAAAACUACAUAAAAUUUCAACUGAUAAGUCUAUUAUUUCUACUGCGGAGAAUCUAAGAUUUUACAAGUCAAACAUACCAAAUCAAUUACAUCACCCGAUGAUGAAGGAGUUGGGUUGCUAGAUAAGAGCCGCAGGAAGACUAACAAUCACAAAUCUGAAAAACAGUAAAAUUGAGACUGUCAGUCUCGAGAGUGAGUUAAAAUCAUAUAUCCAAAAACAAUUACAAACACUUCAAUAACACAUUUAUUUAAUUUAAAAUAAAUAUUAAGUCAUACAAAAAUAAACAAGUCAUGCCAUGCUUAAAAUAAAAAUAACUUUCACAUACUACGGGACGGAGUACCUCAACAGAACCUUAAUCCCAGCACUAAACAUCUUGACUCUCUCUCAUUCUAACAGAACUAACGCCUAGAGAGUGAAGCUGGACCAGGGUCCUUAACUCCAAUCUGGUCAGUUAAUUACCACUAACACUCUUAGCCUUUCGGCUCUCUUACUCUAAUAAGACUGGCGCCCAAAGAGCGAAGCUCGACUAGGGUCCUUAACUCUAGUCUGGUUACUUAAGUUUCCAAAGAAGCCGGCACCCAGAGAGCAAUGCUUGACCAGGGCGAGUCCUAAAUUUAACUUUUAAAAUUUACCCUUUUACCCAUUUGCUAUCAGUCUCGGAUUCAUAGCGGUGCACUCAGCAAAUAGCAUGUUCUACAGCCGUCCCAUCUCGAGUCAACACGAAAUAAUAAAAUCAUAAUGCAGAAAAUGAAACUUAUAUAAAUACGAUUAAAAUAACUGAUUAAAGUAUUAAAUCAUGUAAUCAGAAUUAUUUCGUAAAAUCUCAGCAUAACACAUGUAAACAGACAUAUGACUUUAACUCACAGCUUUGACGACCUCCUAGCUCUGCUUUGAUGCCUCGGGUGGAGCGAGCCGAACUGACGGAUUAUCUAAUCAAGGAAAAAAAUUAAUCAAUAACGUUGAAACAUUUGACAAUUAACCCUAGGUCUAGAUUCCUAGGACUAACUGUCUAAAAAUCUCGACUCGGGUAAAUUCUACCCAAGAUUCGGCGGAACCUCCCGUAAAAUAUGGACAUUUACCUCCCGUAAAACGGGUCUAGGACCUGCCAGAAAACACUUUAAAAUUCAGUAAUUUAUUUUAACGGGAGUCGAGUCCCUAAGACUUCACUAUUUUUCCUGACUCCGCCACACAUCACAAAUCACAACCUAAGGCAGACAGUCUGACAAACAAUUAUUUUAACUCACAAUAUUUUUUUAUCCUCAACAUAAUUCAAUAAAUACAUAAAUCUUAUCAAUAAAUUCUAAAAUCAACGGGCCAGAGAAUUAUCGAGAUGCUUGAUCGCUCGGUCCACUGGCCUCUAGCCGCCGGAGUCCGAUUGACGAUUCGAAUGCACCAACGGACUCGAAAUAUGUGCUGAUGAUGAUCCCCGCUUCCGAUCUUCCAAUCCAACUCCCGAUCAUCCCGAGAGAUUUACGAACGAUCUUGGCCGUUGAUUUUUAAACGGAGUCUGAUUGCCACAAAAUCAGUGCCAUUGGGAAGCUUGAGCUGAGGAGAGUUUGGAUAUGCCCUCUGAUCGUUCAUCACUCGUCGGAACUCACCGAAAAUGCAAAAAAAAUAUGGCUGUCAAUACCUCGUCGAAACUCCCUCCUCCGGCCACCAAAGCUGAUGUCGCCACUCCCAAAAGAAAGCCUUCAACUCACCGGUCAAUUUGAGACCAAAAUCGCUGCCAAAGGACGCCAGAAACGGCCAAUACGGCGGUAAGAAAAUCGCUGCCACUUCUUGCACUCUCUCGCCGAUCGUCGCCUGCUGGACCGCUGCUGUCGCUGCCGCUGCCCUCGCCGGCCUCUGCUGCGCCUCCAACCGGCUUUACCGCACCUUCAGAGCUCGCCACCGCCAGCCAUGGCGAUGCAGCUCAAUUCCUCUUCUUCUUCCUCCUCCUUUCUUCUUCUUUUUCCUCUUUCUUUUCUUUCCUUUUCCUUCCAUAUCGAAUUUGGUCCCUGCACUUUUCUUCCUCACAUUUUGGUCCCUCAACUUUUUUAAUUACAACAAUUUCGCCUUGCAAAAUUUCUGAUUAACCCUUAAAUUUUUUUUUAGAUUUUAAUUAAGCCUCUAACUAUUUAAUUUGGGCCAAAUUAGAAUUAUUGUAAAAUAUAAAAUUACAUAUUUACCCUUGCUUUUACAUGUAAAAUACCAAAAAGCUCUUGCCAAGAUAUUUAAUUAUAAAAAUACCAAACAUGCAAAUUUUUAUUAAAACCCCAUAUUAAUAAAAUUAUACUUUUAAUCUUUAUUUCAAAUUAAAUUUCUAAUUUAAUCUUAACACACAAUUAAUUUAAUUAAUCAAUUUACUAAAUAUUUUUCUAUUAGAAUUAAAACCAUUUGCUAAUUAUAAUUUAUCAUUCCCUGCUAAUUUUUUUAUAAAAAUAUUAUUUACUAAUUCUUUCAUAACUCUCAAAUAUAGAAUUUAAUUUAUAUAUAUUCAUUUAGGAGAAAAUUUGAAUAACCAAAAAUAUGAUUUAUUUCUCAAAGAAUUUACUUAAUUAAUUUCUUAAAAAUCAAACUAAUUGGAUAUAGAAAAUAAUUCCCUUAUUUGUCUGGCAUAAAAAUUCAAAAUUCCAUUUAAAUCACUCUAAUUUAAACCAAAUAAAAUAAAGUAAAAUUUAUUUAAAUAAAACUCAUCUAUUAAUUAUUACUAAUGUUAUCAUUAUUAAAGAAAAAUUCCGAGUAUUACAUCUUCGUAAGGCGCUUCAGUAUUGUUUGUGAAGAAGAAGGAUAGUUCAUUGCGCCUUUGUAUUGAUUACAAAUAAUUGAAUAAGACGAUAAUUCACAAUAAAUAUCUAUUUCCUCAUAUUGAUGACCUAUUCGAUCAGCUUUAAGAUGAUGCAUGCAUUUCUAAAAUUGAUUUACGAUCAAUGUGUCAUCAAUUAAGGACUCAUGAGGACAUACCUAAGAUGACGUGCUAGAUGCAUUAUGAGCAUUAUGAAUUCUUAGUAAUAUCAUUUGGAUUCACUAAUGCUCCUAUAGCUAUUAUGGACUUGAUGAAUCGAAUGUUCAAGCUGUUCCUGGAUCACUUUAUCAUCAUAUUUAUUGAUGAUAUCUUGAUGCACUCCAAGAGUGAAGAAGAGCAUGCAUGGAAUUUGAGGAUGAUACUUCAGACCUUAAAGGAGCACUAGUUGUAUGCUAAAUUCUCCAAAUGUGAAUUUUGGUUAGAGAGUGUAGCUAUUUUGGAACAUGUGGUGUCUAAAGAAGGUAUUUAAGUGGAUCCCAAGAAAGUAGAGGGAGUGACUGAUUAACAAAGACCAACUAUAGUGACGAAGGUUCGUAACUUUUUGGGUUUGGCAGGCUACUACUGCUAAUUUGUGUAGGAUUUUUCAAGGAUUGCGGCACCGUUGAGUAGGUUGACUCAGAAGAAUGUCAAUUUCCAAUGGACUGAUGCUUGCGAAAGAAGCUUCAGAAGUUGAAGGAUUAUUUGACUUCAAUUCUAGUGUUAACUUUACCAUCUACAAACUUUCUUUUACAAUGUAUUGUGAUGCUUUUAGAAUGGGACUGGGUUGUGUAUUAAUGCAACAUGUUAAAGUAGUGGCUUAUGCAUCUAAGCAACUAAAGAGGCAUGAAUAGAAUUAUCCCACUCAUGACUUGGAGAUGGCAUUUGCAAUUGUUACUCUUAAGAUAUAGAGGCACCAUCUCUAAUGGGGGAUGUGCUAGAUAUACACGGAUCGUAAGAGUUUGAAGUAUGUAUUCUAGUAGAAACAAUUGAAUUUUGAGGUAGAGAAGAUGGUUGGAGCUUUUGAAGGAUUAUGAUUGUACUAUUCUUUACCAUCCAAGUAAAGCAAAUGUAGUGGCAGAUGUCUUAAGUAGAAAUUCAGCAGGUAGCCUUGCUCAUAUCAGCAUAAAGAAAAGACAUGACUAAAAAGUUGUAUGAAUUGUACGAUCAAGGAUUAUAGUUGGUGUAACACCCCCAUCACAUGUUAACCAAUAAACAUUAGCCAGGAAGCAUACAAGCGUCGUAGAAUAUAUACUACAGGUAGAUAGGUCAAUAUGUAGGUUGUUAAGAAUCCAGACACAAGGUUAUUAACAUAUAAACAUAUGAUUAUACUUAAACAUCAUUUAACAAGUAUUACAAACAUCUUCUUAUGCCUUAUAAGGCAUACUUCCAUAUAUAUCACAUAACUGCAUACAAAAAUGCAUCAGGAGGAGACUUCACAAAACUGGCCCAACUUGACAGAACUGCUAAAAGCUAGACUUCACAUACAACCAACGGAUGCACUACUAUUUACAAACCUGAAAAGAAAAAUUUUGGAGAGGGGUGAGCCUCCAGCUCAGUAAAUAAAUAAUCAACAUAAUCUAUAUCACAUACACUUAAUACAAUUUCCACCCAAUCACAUAACUUUCCAUGAUAUUCAUAGUUUAGGUAUAAAGUCAUACCAUUCUACUCAAUUCAUUACAACCAUCAUAGAAGAAAUACAAUUCAACAAUUAUGGUUAGUUCUCACGGCUUGUGGAUCCCCUUUAAUGUGCUGCUCCGCCUCAUCCUCACAUAUCACACACGUAAGCUGCUCCGCCUCAUCUCACAUUAUACACUUUUAUAGCCUCUCUAGGCUUUAGCCUCCCAAGGCUUUAUAUAUAUAUAUCUUUUUUUUUCACAGGGGAAUCCACCAUUCACAUGCACAUAUGCACUUAACAUCACAAUUCAAUCAUUUCACUUAUAUCAUAUUUCAGCAAUUACAAUUGUUCCACUCAACACCAAUCAUUUCCAUCUCAGUCAUUCAAACAUAAACAAUAUUAAGCAAACGCAACCAUUUGCGGAACAUUUGAUUAAAUAUAUGAACAUAGCAAAUAUUAACUAUUUACUUACUCAAAAUAUACUUAUUCCUUUAGCAUAUAAGAACCUCCUUUCUUCACAACUUCCUUUCCAGGCCUUUGAGUACCUGUCAACACAUUCAUCAAUUCAUGCAUAUUACAAAUAUUCAUGUAAAUGCGAGUUCUAAUGCAUUACAAGAUCAUCCCCUCUCUAAUUCAUAGGUCUAACUCUUCCUCUAAGACUCUCAAUUACUGUUUUAAUAUCCUAUAAACAUUUCCCAUCUAGUUAAAUACCAAUUUAACUCAAAUUAACAUCAAUAAAUUGCAUAAAACUAAUCUCCAACAUUUCUGUUUUCUAGACAGAAUUUAGUACCAAGGUAUAUUUAUUGCUAGGAAAAAUUGGCUUAAUACAAAAAUCUCAUAUUAAAUAGACAUAUCCAUUUAUGCGUCUAGUUUCAUCUUCAAGAAGAAUUACUCAAUUCCGACUUCUAUAGAUUUAAUUAUUUUCAAAUUACUGAGCAAGGGUCAUACAGCUAGUUGUACCCGAGCAGCAAUCUGUUUGCUCAAUUUAAGCAACCAAAACGGCAAAAAUAGCAAAAUCAUAAAACUACAAAGUUAUAGAGGACUUUUUAAAAUUUCCAUAGACACCAAUUAAGCUUAAUUUGGAGUUAUAUAACCCAUGUUAUGCCUAAAAUACAGAACAUCAAGGUUGCUGGAAUUUUGACAGUUUUCUAUCUUAACAUACUUAAACUUAAAUCAAGCUUAAUCUUUAUGCAAUCAUUCAAUACUCUACUAAUUCAUGAUAAUCAGACCUUUAAUUAAUCAAUGAGAGCAUCAAAUGAAGUUUUUCCAAUUUUUAAUCAAGAACCCUAAUGACAAAUUAAUAACACUCAAUUAACAACUUACCAAUUUCAGCUUUUGGGUUGCUAAUAUGCUUAAAUCCUUUAGCUUUAGCUUGGCUCCUUCAAUAGUUGGCAAAAUCCUAUCUUAAUCUUAAGUUUUUCUAGGUAUUCCACUCCUCUCUCUUAUUCCAAAUUUUGUGUUUUUGGCCAUGUACGAAUUUUAGAGAAAUGAAGAGGUAAAAUGAGCUUGCUCAUGGUUCCAAUUUCCAAUAUUCCUCUCUUAAUGCCACCACCUACUAAACUAUUUUUAUCACCCUAAAUUAAUUCUUACUAACCAUAUAUAGGUACUAACUUUUAAUUGUAUCUUUUAAGUCCAAUCUAUUUACCCAACCUUCAACUAUUGGUUCAAUUAAGUCUUAAGGCUUAAUACACAUAACCCAAGUACUUAAUCAACUUAUCUAAAUUAAUAAUCUAAAAUCAUGCUUCUUAUUCUCUACUUAUAAUUAAUAUAUAUAUGUUCUCAUAAAAUAAAAAUAUCAUUGAUAUACCAUCAUAUGCCCAAUGAUUAAAUGUAAAUGCACAUAACAUGGAUGAUGAGAAAAUGCAGGCGUUACAGUUGGAGGUACUAAAAUCAUGAGUAUUGUUGGCACAUUUCAAGGUUCGGUCCGUAUUUGUUGAAAAAAUCAAGUCAGGUCAGAUUCAAAACCUAUAAUUAAAGAGGAUUUGAGAAAAGGUAUAGCAAGAUCAAGCUAAUGAUAUUUUCAUCGAUUUGAUGGGACUCUCAGGAUCACGCACUAGGUUGUGUGUUUCCGAUAUGGAUAAUCUUAGGAGGGAGAUUUUAGAAGAGGUUUAUUACAUAACUUACAGUGUCCACUCAAGUUCUACUAAGGUGUAUCAUGAUUUGAAAAGCAUUUAAUAGUGGAACAGGAUGAAGAAGGAUGUAGCAAAAAUUUUGGUUCCAAGUGUUUCACAUAUUAGCAAUUUAAGCUAGAGCGCGAGAAGUCGUUAGGAUUGUUACAGUCACUUUCUAUUCUGAAGUGGAAGUGGAAAAGAAUUAAUACGGAUUUUGUAUUGGGUUUGCCUAAGACUUCGGUACGGUAAGACUCUAUUUGGAUAAAUGUGGACUGUUUUACUAAGUCAACACACUUCCUAUCCCUAGAGACUACUUACAUGGUGGCUAAGUAUGCGAGGGUAUACUUGAAAACAAUUAUAAGUUUUCACGGAGUUUUUAUUUCCAGAAUGUCUGACAGAGGACCACAAUUCACUUCAAGGUUUUAGAGAAAGCUACAAGAAGAGCUUGGAACCAUAUUAUACUUCAACAUAACUUUCUCCUCCCAGACUGAUGGUCAGUUGGAAAGGACAAUUCAGACAUUAGAGAAUAUACUUAGAGUGCAUGUUAUGUACUUUGGUGGUUAAUGAGAUUGGUACUUGCUAUUAAUUGAGUUUGCUUAUAAUAACAUUUGUCAUGCGAGCAUCGAGAUGGCUCCUUAUAAGGCAUUAUACAGCAGGAAGUAUAAAUCGCCUUUGUGUUGAGAAGAAGUUGGUGAGCGGAAAUUAACAGGUCCAGAGUUCGUUCAAAUUACUUCUAAGAAGAUUCCUAUCAUCCAUGAGACACUAAAACAACUUUUAGUAGGCAAAAAAGUUAUGCAGACUUGAAGGGGAAGCAUGUGGAGUUCAGUAUUGGAGAAUAUAUAUUCUUAAAGGUGUCACUUAUGAGAGGCGUGAUGCAGUUUGGUAAGAAGGGAAAGUUGGCCAUACUUUAUAUAGACCCCUUUGCGAUUUUUAACAGGAUUGGAGAGGUAGCAUAUAAGUUGGAUUUACUGUCUAAUUUCUCACAUGUACAUCCGGUGUUUCAAAUAUCCAUGCUGAGAAAGUAUAUUACGGAUCCUUUGCAUGUGCUUCAACCUCAGUAUGGGGAGGUGAACAAAUAUUUGACUUAUAAAGUGCAACUAAUCAGAUAAUAGAUAUUCAGGUUCUUCGGCUUCACUUUAAGGCUAUACUAAUGGUAAAGGUUAUUGGCAGAAUCAUCCUACCGAGGAGUGUACUUGGGAGAUCGAGCAAGAGAUGAGAUAAUCUUGUCUCAUUUAUUUCAAUCUUAAGGUAAGUCUUAUUCCUUUCAAUUUAGAGACAAAUUUUUUUUAAGGGGGAUGAUGUAAUACCUCGUAAUUUUUAGAUUUUAAUUUUAUUUAAUUUCAAAAUUUUUUUAAUAAAUAAAUAUUUUUGAUAUUAAAAAUUCAGCACUUAAUAAAUUAUUAAAGUACUAUUUACUUUAUUAUUUUCAUGAAUAAUUAUAUUUUUUAACUUUGGCGAUUUUAAAAAUAGCUUUAUAAUUUUAAUUAAGUGAAUUAGAUUUUACUUUAAAUUAGCCUUACUAUCCACAUUUAUUCUUAAAAUAUAUGAUGGAUCUAAUUUAUAUUAAUUAUUAUUUAUUUUGUAUUAUUAUUAUUAAUUUAAUGAGUUAAAAUUAAUGUUAGUUUAUUGGAAAGAUAAUUAAGUGUACAUAUGAAUAUAAUACUAAUAAUAAUAAUGUGUUAAUAUAGCAACUAUUUUAAUCAAGGGCCUAGGGGCAUUUCCUUAUAUGCCAAAUAUUGCAUUUGGUCUUGAAAAGAAAAAAAAAAAAAAACUCAUUUUCCUUCAUCUUUUUCCCUUCCCCCGUCAAUAUCUCCUUCUCCCUCCCUUAACCUCCCAUUUCGGCAGCCACUCGACAUCUGAUUACAGCCAAAAUAGGUCCUUAGUGUUGUCGUCAUCGUGCCACCACCAAGCUCGCCUGAAAAGGCCAAGAAAUGGCAGAAUGAGGAGAAGGAAGCCGCCACUUGCUAUCGCCUCUGGUACAAUUACUUGCUGGUGUUUUCUAGCCAAACCAAUGCUAGAAGCAACUUCCUCGGACCUUAAACCUGAAUUGGGACUGUUAUAACCCCUAACGUCUCCUAUAAACUAGUGACCAGAGCUGGUGUAGCUUCGCCGCACUUGCUUGAUUUUUAGGAUUUUUGGUGAUUGUGUGGUGAAAAUAAUUGUAUAUUUGGACUCCUUGCAUCUCGAUCUACAAGUGGGUGCCUUCGGAUUCAAUUUCCGAGACUGUUAGAAAUUCCAACAAUUGGACCUUAGUGUUUUCAGGAUGUGCGUGACAGCGGAUAUUCGUCUCGGUAUAACUUUUCUGAACCUUAAAAAUUUAAUUUAUAUUAUUGGUAAUUAUUUAACUUAUUAUUUAUUAAUUAAUUAUAAAUAAUUAAUAGUUUAAUUAUAUAUUAUUGUGGGUGAAACUUUUAUAAGUUAAUUAUUAAUUGAUAAAUGUGAUAGAUAAUUGAUUGUGAAUAAAUUUAGUUUCUUAUUGGGAGUUUUUGUAAACUAAUCGUGAAUUGAGAUUAGUAAACCGAUUAAUGCAUUAUUAUUUAUUUGCAUUUUGAUGUGUUGUUGAGUCAAGAAAAUAUUGUAAAUGGGAGUGACUUGACUCUAGUUAAAUAUUAAUAAUUAUUUAAAUGCGAGUGUCUUGUCAAAUUUUGGUAAAAUUUUCAAAUCAAGAUUAGUCGAGAUUUUAAGCAGUCUACUUCUUGAAAGUCUAGGAUUAGGAUUGUUGUAGAAUUUUAUAUUAGUUAAAUUAUUUAUGUAAAUGGAUAUUCAACCAGCUUUGUUGGAGUUAUAAGAGCAGCUAAAGAUUUCAUUAGAAUUGUGUGUUAAUGUUAUAUAACUAACCGUAUUUAUAUCAUAUCAAUAUUUAAUUUAAAUAUUAUUAAAGUUAUUAUUAUUAUCAUUAUUAUCGAUAUGAUUACUAUUAUCUUUAUUAUUAUUAUUAUUACUAUUUGUUAUUAUUGCAUUUCAAUUACUAUUUCUGUAUUAACUCAUGUUAUUAAAUUUAAUAUUUUAAUAUUAAAUUAGAUAAUAUUAUUUUUAUCUUAUUCGUAUUAUUAUUAUUGCUAUUAAAUUUUAAUUUUAUUUGGAAUGUGGAUGAUAGUAAAACGUGUCAUUUGAUGGGUUGCAUCACAACUGCGUGUGCAUCGGUAAAAAUCAGAGACAUGAAUCAAAAGGUUAUGUAUGAUAUGCCCUGGUCGAGCAUGACUCUAUGGGCUUACAAGAUUUAGAAACUAAUAGAGGAAAGGUCCAUACUCGAACUUAGCUCUCUAGUCACCGACUGAGUUGGAAAUUAAACUAGAUUUAAGAACUAUGAUUGAGCUUUGCUCUUCGGGCGCCAGUCUUAUUGGAUAUAAGAGAGCUUAUUAGGUAAUAUAAUUGGAGUCUAGAGUUCUGCUAAUAUUCUCGUCCUACUUUUAUUAAAAUUGAAUUUUUCUAAAUUAAUAACAUGACGCGUGAUUAUCAAUUAUCGAAAAUAUAUAUUUAUUUAUUCAUUUGUUUAUUUAUUAUGAGAUUGUUUAAUUUGGAGGCAAUAUUUAUUUUUGGAUUAUAUGAUUUUGACUUACUCUCAAGACUAACAGUCUUAAAUUUAUUUUUUAGGUGAUAGUUAGGACUUUCUGUUGCUUCAUUAUUUUGCCAGCCCGAUUUCUUCCAUCUUCGGGUUCAAUGUAAUUGCUUUCACUAUAUUUUUGCAUUUCACUUAUAGAGGCUCUGCAGUACUUAUUUUAGGACUUAAUUAUGUAUGUUUGACAUUUAUAUCUGAUAAAUAUUAUUAAGUAGGAUGAUGGUAUUGUUGGGUUAAAAUAUGUUUUAUUAAAUUAUUGAUUAGUCACGCUUGCUAUCGAUCUCAGUGACUUUAUGCAUACUUAUUCUCUAGUGCCGAUCACGGAUUCAUAGAUCGGAUCAUAUGACAGUUGCUUUGUCCACAGCUAAGGCAUAAUACAUCUCAGCAGGGAACUAUGUUGCUUAAAACUUAUGGAUAAGGAAACAAUUAGAAGACUAUGAACUGUUUCACAAACAUAUACCAAUUCAAUGUGACAACACCAAUGCCAAUCAACCUCUCGUAAAAUCUUGUAUAACAUUCAAGAACCAAUCAUAUUGAAGUAAGAUAUCACUUCAUCAGAGAUCAUGUUUGUAAUACUCAGAAUUUUUUUUAUUUAAUAAUGAUUAUAUUAAUAAUAAUUAAUAAAUAAAUUUUAUUUAAAUUAAUUUACUUUAUUUUUAUUUGGUUUAAUUUGGAAUGAUUUAAUGGAAAUUUUAAUGCUAGACAAAUAAAGGAGUUAUUUUCUAUAUCCAAUUAGUUUGAUUUUUAAAAAAUUAAUUAAUUAAAUUAUUUGAGAAAUAAAUUAUAUUUUGGUUAUUCAAAUUUUUUCUCCAAAUGAAUAUAUAUAAAUUAAAUUUUAUAUUUGAGAAUUAUGGAAGAAUUUGUAAGGGAUAUUUUAUAAAAGAAUUAUUUAGAAAAAUGGCAUUUUAAUUAGCUAAUGGUGUUAAAUUUUAAUUAAAAAAUAUUUAGCAAAUUGGUUAACUAAAUUAAUUGUGUGUUAGGACUAAAUUGAAAAUUUAUUUUAUAAUAAAGAAUAAAAGUAUAAUUUUAUUAAUAUGUGGUUUUAAUAAAAAUUUGUAUGUUUGUAAUUUUUGUAAUUAAAUAUGUUGGCAAGGGCUUUCUGAUAAUUUUAAUUUAAAAGCAAGGGUAAAUAUGUAAUUGUGUAUUUUCAAUAAUUCUAAUUUGGCUCAAAUUAAAUAGUUAGGGGCUUAAUGGAAAAACUAAAAAAAUAUUUAAGGGUUAAUUGAAAUUGUUUAGGAUGAGAUUGUUAGUAAUUAAAAAGUUGAGGAACUAAAUGGUAAAAAAUAAAAGUUUAGGGACCUAUUGUCGACAAUCGUUGAAAGAAAAGAAAAGAAGAAAAGGAGAAAGAGAGGAAGUCGACGUCGGGGGGGGGGGGGGGGAGAAGGAAGAAGCUCGCUACUGUCCAUGGCAGCCGGAGGAAGAGUCCGUCCGAGGCGUCGCGGAGCCAGCUGGCGGAAGAGCCGACGCCGGCGAGUCCAGCGGCGGCGGCAGUGUAAAAAGAAAGGGGGAGGGGGGAAGUUGAGGCGGCUGUUCGGCGCCAUUAGUGGCGUGUCCGUCGGCGCCAAGGAUGGCGAUCGGCUUGUCGGAGAGCGAGCUUUCUUUUGGCGGCAGCGGCGACGCUUCUGGUGGCCGGAAUUAGGAGAUCCGAUGGAGAGAGAAAGAAGGGGCAGCCGAUGUUCUCUGGUUUUUCCGGCGAGGGAUGGAUGAUCGAAGGACGUAUCCAGACUCUUCUCAGCUCAAGCUUCGCAAUGACACUAGUUUCGUGGUGAUCAGACUCCGUUUGCAAAUCGACGGCCUAGAUCGUUUAUAAAUGUCUCCAAUUGAUCGGGGGUCGGAUCGGAAAAUCAGAAGUAGUGAUCGUCAUCAGCGCGUCAGCUCAAGUCCGUUGGUGUGUUCGGAUCGUCGAUCGAACUCCGGCGGCUGGAGGCGAGUCGACCGAGCUAUCAAGCGUCUCGGUAAUUUUCUCCGGCCUGCUGAUUUUAGAAUUAUUUAGUAAGUUAUAUGUUUAUUGAAUUGUGUUGAGCAUUAUCGAUAUUGUGUGUUAAAAUAUUUUAUUUGCCGGAUUGUCUGCCUUAGAUCGUGUUUUAUGANNNGAUCGUGUUUUAUGAUGUGUGGCGGAGUUGGAAAAUAGUGAAGUCUUGGGGACCCGACUCCCGUUAAAAUGAAUUGUUAAAUAUUUGAAGUGUUUUCUGGCAGGUCCUAGACCCGUUUUACGGGGGGUAAAUGUUCGUAUUAUAGGUGAGGUUCUGCCGAAUUUUCGUUAGAAUUUACCCGAGUCGAGAUUUUUAGACAGUCACUCCUAGGAAUCUAGACCUAGGGUUAAUUGUCAACUGCUUCAGCAUUAUUAAUAAAUUGUUUUUCGUGAUUAUAUAAAUCUGUCAGUUCGGCUCGCUCCACCCGAGGCAUCGGAGUAGAGCUAGGAGGUCGUCAAAGCUGUGAGUUAAAGUCAUGUAUGCUCUUUGAUUACUAUUCAUAUAUAUCAUGUUUUUCAUCACUAAAUUUAUUAUUGCCUGAUGACUCGAGAUGGAACGAUAGUAGAACAUACUAUUUUGAUGAGUGCAUCGGUAUAAAUCCGAGAGGAAUAGAAAAGGGGUAAACUAGUAAAUUUUAAAAAGGUAAGUUUAGGACUUGCCCUGGUCGAGCAUUGCUUUCUGGGCUGAGUAGAGUGAGUGUGCCGGAGUAAAGGACCCUAGUCGAGCAUUGCUCUCUGGGCGCCGGCUUAUUUGGAAACCUAAGUGACUAGACUGGAGUUAAGGACACUGGUCGAGCUUCGCUCUCUGGGCGCCAGUCUUAUUGGAGUAAGAGAGCCGAAAGGCUAAGAGUGUUAGUGAUAAUUAAGUGUCUGAACUGGAUUUAAGGACCCUGGUUGAGCCUCGCUCUCUGGGCGCUAGUUCUGUUAGAAUGAGAGAGAGUCGAGAUGUUCAGUAUUGGGAUUAGGGUUCUGCUGAGGUACUCCGUUCCGUAGUGUGUGAAAAUUAUUUUACAUAAGCAUGACAUGAACACAUUUAUUUUUGCAUGACUUAUUAUUUAUUUCAAAUUAAAUAAAUAUGUUAUGGAAAUGUUGUAAAUGCUUUUGGAUAUAUGAUUUUAACUCACUCUCGAGACUGACAGUCUCAAUUUUACUGUUUUUCAGAUCCGUAAUUGUUAGUCUUCCCGCGGCUCUUAUCUAGCAACCCGACUCCUUCAUCAUCAGGUGAUGUAAUUGAUUUGGUAUGUUAAAUUGUAAAAUCUUAGAUUCUCCAUAAUAAAAGUAAUAGACUUAUUAGUUGUAAUUUUAUGCAGUUUUGAGUAUCGCCUAAUUCUUCUGGCAGACCAAAUUAAAUAUGUAGAAUUUAAUGAUUAAGAAAUUGUGACAUCAGUAAUAUGAGAUGAAAUUUAAUUAAGUUAAUGAGUGUCAGGUUUACUACGGGAUUCGGUGGCCUUACGCCUACUCAUUCUCUAGUGCCGGUUACGGGCCCACAGAUCGAGUCGUGAGGAGAUAUCCAAUUAGAAUUUAUCCCAUCAGAUGAGCAAUUGACAUACAUCUUAACUAAACCUCCUGGUAAAGAUUAAUUCUAUAAAAUUUUAAAAUCCAUUGGUAUUAGUACUCAAUUCAACUAUGAUACAUCUAAUUUGCUCUUCAAUGAUUAUCCAACUAUGCCAUGUGUCAUAUACUUCUAAAUACAUGAUUAUUUUAGUACUUAUUUUAAUGUAAUGUUAUUUUUUUUAUUUUGAAGUAUCAUUGGUAAAUUAUUUUAAAGAGACUAAAUCCAAAAUCUUUUCUUUUUCAUCAUAUGCACUAACCUAUUUGGCUUGUAAAACAUGAAGAAAAGGAAAGAGAGUAUGACUCGAUGGCUGCGUAAAAAACAGAGAAAAAGACUUGAUGGGACUAGAGAAGAAAGAAAAAAAUUGACACAAAUAUAAAAUGAAUGGAUGCAUGACAAAAAAGGAACGGUUAUUAAUGAUCAAAUAGGACUAACUAUUGGGUAUUUGAAACUUCUAUCCCUAUCUCCAUUUUAAAAAGGAAAAUACAAUCUUCAUCUUCUCAUUAUUUAUUUAUCUCGACUUUUCUCUUUCUUUUAAGCCUUAUUUUUCAAAAUGUCAACUUAUCUCUCUCACAUAUCUCUAAAUCCUUCGAUAUCUUUUUGAGAUAAGCAAAAGAAAAUCCUUCUUCUUCACUCAUCUCACAUACAUGACCAGAAAAGAAAAAGUCUUCAACACCUCCACUACCUCAAUGCGACAAACUAAAACAGAAAAGAAAUCCUAAGCUCCUUAGAUCUCCAUCUGUGCAGACAAUUAUAAGAUCAUGCAAUCUAGGAUUUUCAAUUGGAAGAUAUUCAAUGAUAAGGCUAUGAAGUUUAAAUAGAAGUUUGAAUUUCAAGGCUGGGUUCCAUUUAUUCACUAUAAAGAGAAAUUUAUGAGAAACUUACCUUUGAGUUCUACAGAUCAAACACGAAAGUGACAGAUGAGCUGGUUUGGGUGAGUAUUAAAGGCGAAGCAAAGGAAAUCACACUAAUCUAUUAGGAAAUGUUAUGGGUUUACUAGUAGAAGGAGCAAAAAUUACUGAACAACACUAGUGACAAAGUUAUUCCCGGAUAUGACAAGAAGAGAUUCAUCUAAGAGCUGAGGGCCAAUCAACCAACUUUUGGUAAGGAAUUCAUUACUGACUAUGGCCUUCAUGGUAGAAUGUUGCAUGAGUUCAUAGCCUAAUGUUUUAUUAAGGAUGGGUAGCUUAGACUCUAUCACUAAACUAGAUUUAAAGAUCAUGUGGCACAUAGCUAAGAAAUAAAAAUUACGCCUUCCUUAUCUACUAUUGAAUGUAAUCACAAAUAUGAACCCUACCAGUGGAAUGCCUUACAGUAUGUACCUUUGUUAUUUAAACACUUUAGGGUUCUUCUUAAAGAUGGAAUAGAGUUGAAACUAAGUGAUGUUUUUGGAAAAUUCACUAUCAACAACAGUAAGUACAGAGAAAAGGAUGAGGUUGAUUAACUAAAACAUAAUGGGAAACUCUUGGAGUAACGGGUGAGGUAAGGAAGAGAAAAUCCAAAGCAAAGAGACAUCUAAGUUUAGUGGAUGAGGGGUUUGAUAACAAUAAUAAAGAUAAUGAGGAACUUGAGAAAAAGAAAUAUGUAGGCGAGAAGGAGAAAUCUAAUGAAAAGGUCGAGACAUUUGUGUUGAAUAGAGCUUAUAUAAAGCUUAUUGUUAACAAACUUCAAGUGCUUAAUAAUUAAACAAAUGACAAAAGAGAAAGAGAUGUCUAUGAAAAAUAAUUUUAUUUGAUACUAAAUAUUGUCUUAUAUAGACACAUAUAUUUUCCACUUUCACCAGAUUUACAGAAUAAAAAGGAAAAUAAAUAGCUAACAAUCCACUACAUCUAUGACUUAUUCAUAGCUAAUUUAUAGGAAAUAAAGCCAAAAAGUUACAGACCCUUAUCAAUAAUUAUUCUAAAACAAUAUUCAAUACUCCCCUUCAACAUCAGCUUCUGGUCUUUUCACCAUGCCAAGUUGAUUGCAGAAAUUUUCAAGUUUAUUGCUGCCCAAGCCUUUUAUAAACAAAUCUGCAGCUUGUCUUUCUGUUCCAACAUGCUCCAACUGAAUUUCUUCUUCCAAGACCUUCUCUCUGAUAAAAUGAUAGUGCACCUCCACAUGUUUAGUUCUUGCGUGAAAAACUGGAUUUUCUGCUAAUCUUAUGGCUGAAAGGUUGUCGUAAUACAAAUGAAUAUCAUACUCUAUUGAUUGAUGCAAGUCCUUCAAUAAUAACACAAGCUAAGUGCUUUCUUGAGCUGCCAUCGCCGCUGCUCGGUAUUCUGCUUCUGUUAUUAAUAAAGACACUGUCUGUUGUCUUUUGCUACACCAAGAAAUUGCUCCAGACCCAAGCAUGAAAAUAUAUCAAGUAGUUGAACGUCGAGUAUUAUGGUCACCUGCAUAAUCGGCAUCGCAGUAGCCAACUAACUUGCAAUCUCCAUCUUUCUUGUACAUAAUACCAUAGCCAAGUGUACUCUUUACGUAUCUCAAGAUUCACCGAGCUGCUUCCAAAUGGGGUUUCUUUGGAUUUUGCAUGUAGCGACUUAUCAGACAAACUGCAAAAGAAAUAUCCGGUCUAGUCAAAGUUAAAUAGAUAAGGCUACCUACCAACCGUCGAUACAUCAUAGCAUCUUCCAAAUCUUUCCCUUCAUGAGCACAUAAUUUUACAUUUGGCUCCAUCGGUGUCAUGAUUGGCUUGCAUUUAAGCAUUCCAAACUUUUCAAUAAAUCUUUGGAAUAUUUUUGUUGCUUGAGAUAUAUUCCUUCAUGCGUAUGAUCAAUCUCCAGACCAAGGAAAUGCUUGAGCUGUCCAAGUUCUUUCAUUUGAAACCAAACUGAAAAGUUCUUUUUGGUUUGGAGAAUCUCUUCUUCAUAAUUUCCUGUGACAAUUAAAUCAUCUACAUACACUAGCACAAUAGCUAGCUUCACUUCUUCAGCUUUGACGAACAAGCUAGAAUUUGCAGAUGUCACCAAAUAACCACUUUAAGUCAAAAAGUCAGCAAUUUUACCAUACCAUGCCCUCGAUGCUUGUUUUAGCCUAUAGAGUGCCUUCCGAAGUUUACACACAUGCUCAGGAUGAUCUUUACUCUGAAAACCUAUUGGCUGAUUCAUGUAGAUAUCCCGGUCUAACUCCCCAUGUAAAAAUGCAUUCUUCACAUCGAGCUGCCACAGGUUCCAACUUUUACUAGUUGUGAGUGCUAGUAGGACUCGUACAAUAGUAAGCUUUGCAAUUGGACUAAAAGUUUCAUCAUACUCUAGUCCAUAUUGUUGAGAGAACCCUCGAGCUACCAAAUGAGCCUUGUGUCUCUCUAUUGACCCAUCAAUGCGAUGCUUUAUCUUGUACACUUAUUUGUAGGAGAUAGGCUUCACAUCUCUUGGCUUUGGUAUAAGCUCCCAAGUUUGAUUUUUCUCUAACGCAUAAAUUUCCUCUUCCAUAGCUUUAUUCCAUUCAUGAUUUUGACAUGCUUCCUCAAAUGUCUCUGGUUCCGUUGCAUCUGCUUUUUCUACUAUGGUGGCAUUUGCGUAUCUAGGAUUUGGCUUUCUGAUCCUCGUUGAUCUUCUAGGCAUAAUCCGUGUUUCUGCUUCAUUAAUGUCUCCUUCUUCGCUUAGUUGUUGAUGGACACCGGUUUGCCAAGGACUUUGGCUACUCUUUCAUUGAUCUCACCAUCUUGAUUUACAUCUUUAGUUUCAUCCGAUCUCAAUUGAAAUUGAGAAGUUUGCAAUAGAUCAGUAAAGACAUUUGAAUCUGAAGAUACCUCUUUGUUUGAGGACCACCAUGAAGAGGCUUCAUCAAACACUACAUUUCGAGAUGUGUAGCAUUUUCCAAUUGCUGGAUCGCAACAAUGCCACCCUUUCCUUUGACUAUCAUAUCCUACAAAGACACAUCUAACAGCCUUUUUUUCCAUCUUGCUACGUAAAUGAUCAGGUAUAAAUACAUAGCAUAUAUAUCCAAAGACUCAAAAAUGACCAACAACAGGCUUUAUGUUCCAUAUUUUCUCAAAAGGUGAGAGAAAACAUAACCUUUGUUGAGGUAGUCUGUUGAUCACAAAUGUUGCGGUUGUUAUUGCUUCUGCCCAAAAUAUGCCCGGAACAUUCUUUGCAUGAAGCAUGCUUCGACAAAUUUCUGUCAAGUGCUUGUUCUUCCUUUUGGCUAUGCCAUUUUACAGCGGAGUGCUGGCACAUGUAAAAUGAUGGCGUAUUCUACACUUCAAAAGAAACUCUAAGAACUCACCUGAGGUGUACUCCCCCCUAUUGUUUGUACAUAGACAACAAAUACUUCUACCAACUUCUGCUUUUGCCACUUUCUUGAACUCUUUGAAUUUUGAGAGUGUUUCAGAUUUUUCCUUCAUAAAGUAAACCUACACAUACCUCGAGAAAGUGUCAAUAAAAGUUACCAUGUACCUCAUCCCACCAAUGGAAGCUUGUUUAACUGGUCCAAACACAUCAGAAUGAAUCAACUAUAGUGGUUCAUUGGCUUUAAACUUUGACUCUUCAUACGGCAACCGGUGUGCUUUUCCAUAUUGACAGCCUGCACAUACAGUGUUUGACCUCACUUCAAGUUGUGGGAGUCCCUUUAGCAUUGACUUCCUCAUCAUCACAUCUAGCUUGGAAUAGUUAACGUGACUUAGUCGCAUAUGCUAUAGAUCUGCCGUCUCGUUCCUCCUCGCCUUCUCUACGUAUGUUGUUUCUGCAGACAUCACAAAGGCUGAUUCCGACCUUUUCCGACCUUUGCCCCUUCAUGAUUGGCUCUUCUAUGAUCUUAACAUGAUCCUGAUAUACUUUUACAUCUUGUGGACCAAACAAAACAUAAUAACCAGAAGAUGUUAAUUGUGCUACUAAGAGAAGAUUUUUCUUCAUACCUGGGACAUGAUAAACAUUUUGGAGCAGCAACUCUGUAUCAUUAUAGUGGGGAGGGACUACUGUAUUACCAAUAUGAGCGAUUGACAAUUUUGAGUUGUUCGCCGUCACCACUACCCGGCUUCCCUUGUAUUUUAACGUGUUCUGCAACUUCUCUUUAUCACCGGUCAUAUGGUUUGAGCAACCUGAGUCAACAAUCCAAUCAUUCUCAUAAUCAAUUUGAUUAAAUGUUGUUGUACAUGUUGUCUCUUCUUCAUCUGCAGCAAAAAACGCCUUAGCAUCCCACUCGUCUUCACCUUUGGAAGUUGCAACAUUGCUCUCCACACCCUUCUUCUUUAGACCAACAAUCUUUCACCAUAUGACCCUUCUUUUGGCAGUUGUAGCACUUUCCUUCAAAUUUUCUUCCAUUGCCAAAUUUCUUAGGAUCUCCUUCUUCAUGGACACUCGAUUUACCUUGAUGACUUUUUGCCUUGUAAUAAUACCUUUUGGAACCACCUGUGACAUGUUGCUUAGAAUUCCACGUGCCUUUGUUGGCAUAGAGUGCCUCUUUUUCACUUUUCAAUAAGACUCCUCCCAUUUGCUUAGCUAAAGCUUCCUGGCCAGCUAGCAAAUUUUUGAAUUCUACGAGCGACGGCUGAUUUUGCCAUCCUUGAAUGGCAGCAACAAAACUCCUAAAUUAUGGCUUCAAACCAUGGAUGAUGAUCCUCUUUAUCCUGGUAACGCCAAUAGGAGCCUUUGGAUCCAACUCAGAAAUCUCUCGACAUAAUGACUUCACUUUAUAGAAGUAUUGUGCAAUUGUCAUGUCUUGUUGUGCCAUUGACAACAACUCACUCUCUAAGAGUUGGAGUUUCGUAUCGUUCUUCUUAGAGAACAGCUUGGCAAACACAUCCUAAGCUUCUUUGGGAGUUUUUGUAUCUCGAUGUGCUCCAAUACAUCCUCUUCAACUGUCGUCUUUAAAAUGAACAUUGCUUUGCCCGCUUUGAUCUUCCACUUCCGUAAUAUCCCAUUCGCAUCUUCAACCUCCGGUUAUUUUACUUCAUUUCUAGAUACAACCUCCUAUAGAUCUUGGCCUUGCAUGUAGGACAUCAUACAAGUAGACCAUGAAUUGUAAUUCUGGUUAUUAAGCUUCUUGAUUCCACCAACUACUUGAAGGUCACCCAUCUUGUGCUCAUAAUCAAGCUCUGAUAUCAGAUUGUUGAACAGAGUUAUAUAAAGCUUAUUGUUAAUAAACUUCAAGUGCUUAAUAAUUAAACAAAUGACAAAAGAGAAAGAGAUGCCUAUGAAAGAUAAUUUUAUUUAAUACUAAAUAUUGCCUUAUAUAGACACAUAUAUUUUCCACUUUCACCAGAUUUACAGAAUAAAAAGGAAAAUAAUUAGCUAACAACCCACUACAUCUAUGACUUAUUCAUAGCUAAUUUAUAGGAAAUAAAAUAAGCCAAAAAGUUACAGACCCUUAUCAAGAAUUAUUCUAAAACAAUAAGAUAAACUUAAUCAAUAGGGGACCUACGAGCUGGUGUUGAUUUAUUCAAUAAUUUGAAAAGAAGAGAAAAGCAAAGAAUUGAUUAACUUGAACAAGGACUUUUUGGCCAAAGUAGAGCAACAAGACUUAGUAGGAAAAGAAAUGCCUAAAAAACAAUACUCAAAUUCCUAAGAGGAAUCAACUGAAGGAACAAAAUAUUAGACAGUUAGCACCAAUAAGAAAUUUGAUUAUGAGGAAGAAAAAUCAAAUGAAUCAGAAAAGAGCCCUGAUUUGACUGAAAAAGAACGAGAAGAAACAUAAAAAUAAAAAAAGUAAAGAAGAAGCAAAAGUUUGCAUUAUUGUUUUAAGGGAUCAUAAUUCAAUCAAUAAUUUAUGGAGUAAGAUCACUACUGCUCUUAAUAGUCAUUUGACUGCAUUGUCAAACCAACAGCUGUAUAUGGAUCUUGAUCUUAGCUCAGAUGUCUAUCAUUUAUUUAGAGAGAUUUAGAAGAAGUAGAGUGAUUUUGAAUAGUACCUUUGAAAAAAGCUUAAAAGAAGAGUUUCAACAGUUUAAGUAUGUGGAAAGAGAUGUAUGACAUAAUUGAAGGACUUAACUGUCUCUCAUCUCAGACUGAGAAGAUGUAUGUUGAGGAAGCUACUACUAUUUGAAAGAAAAGAAAAGGAAAAUUGUCUGAAAGUGAGAGUCCAGUUAGCUCCACUGAUGAAGAGAGAUAAGGAAAGAAGAUCAAGCUUGCUGAGGAACGGGCGAAAGAGAAGAGUGCUAAAAGCACCAAGGUCUCCAAGACCACUAAGAAGGGAAGAAAGCAUAGAUCUACUAAGCCCAUCCUCCAAGUUUACUACUUCAUUUCUUCUUCUUCUGUCUCAAAGCCUUUUAAUUUUUUUGACAAUUUGAACAAUAUUUGUUUAUGAAUGCUAAGUAUCAUUUUUUUUGUUGAUGACAAAGAAAUGGAGAAAUAUUUUUGCAUGUUGGAUAUGCUCAGGGGAUAUCUUGAAAUACUAUUGCAUGAACACAAAUAGGCAUCUGCAUAGGGGGAGCAUGCCUUAGAAUAAUUUGAAUAGAUUUAUUUUUAAUCCAUUGCUAGUAUAAUACUUGUUAUUUUUUCUUACAUAAAUCUUAUGGAUGCGUUUAAAAUGUUGAUAUUGGAUACAUAUACUUGUCUUUAGCUAUCUAGUUUGUAGGUACAAACAUCUAACUAUACAGUUAGAUUUCUACAGUGUGUAAAUUGCAGAUAAUUUAAAAAGUGUCAUGGUCACCAAAUAGUGUGUUUUGUUAUCAUAAAAAGGAGGGAGAUUGUUAGCCCCAAGAAGCUAAUAAUUUUGAUUUUGAUGAUAACAUGAGAUUGCAUGUUUUUGUACUGUGUAUAUGGACAUCUAAUAGUACACGUACAAAGCAGAUUUGAUUAGAUGACUGGCAAAAUAGAAAGUUCCAUCAGACAUCUACCUUGAUCAAAGGUAACAACGGACACUCCAAACAUAAUUUAGGUGUAAGCAAUCUCUAUUGGGAAUUUGUGCGUCUUAGAUAUCUUGUUAAAUGGAUCAAGUUGCUUUUCCAAAAUGAAUUUCUUGUACAUUGUAAAAUUUUAAAUCUUUUUCUAAUUUUAAAUCAUGAAAAUAUAUUUUAAUUUUCUCAAAGUGAUUGAGAAAACAAAAAUUAUUAUUCCCUUAAUAUCACAUCUUUUAAGAUAUCUGUUUUAGAUUAGGCAUCUAUGCGAUACCUUAAAGGUAUCUAUCUGUUAUCUAGUAUGAUACAUCAUUUUCCAUACACUUACAUAUUCUUCACAUAUGUCGAAAUGGCUAGUUUUAUUGGGCGAAAUGGAAGCAUCCUCACACUAUCAAUUUUAGUUGUCUAACACAAUGACAAGCCUUUUCUAGCAGCUUUCUAUUGACUAUUGAUAGAAAGCUGUAAAGUGUGUGAGAUGUCUAAAUCAGCAACUCUAAAGUUCUUUAAAGCAAAUUUUGAAAAGGUGUCUUUAUGUAUAUAUUUAAACUUUUUAGCAAUGUCUCUAACAACUAGCUUUUCUGUUGCUCUAUAAAUAAAGGCUUUACCUACCAAAUCAAUAAGGAAGAAUAACUUUACUUUCCAAAACUCUCAAGAACUGAAAAGGCUUAUCACUCUUUCUAUUCAUCUUUUAUUCUUGAGUGUUUAAAUUUAUGAUGUUCCAAAAUUAGUAUUUCUUGCAUUAAAAUUGCAUAUGAUUUGUAUAGAAAUUUUGUUCAUUUUUAUUUAUUGCUUUCAAAAGAGAAAAUCUCUUAUAACAUUUCCAAGCUCCUUGUGUUAAAGUUUGUGGUUUAUAGGGUGAUACUUCCUCCUUUCUAAGAGUUUGUUAGAUGUCUAUUUUAACCUAAGAAGCAAGAGAGAGAUUGAUAUAAGCCUAAUAACUUCUAUGGGUUAGUGAGAGAGGAGAUAUUUCAAACUGUAUAAGGUGUCUUAGUAUCAAAACCUUAUAAGGCUUGAUCUCUAGCCAAUAAUAGAGUCAAACAAUGGAGACAAUCUUAAGGUGAAAUUCUUAACGACUGGAUGUAGGUCUUAGUACCGAACUAGGAUAAAUCUUUGUGUUGAUUUUUAUUAAAUUGUAAUUCAUUAGACAUCCAAUACUACUACAUACUCUGUUAGUUGUCUUUUACAUCUAAAAAAUGAGAAUUACUACUUAGACAUCCAAUUAUUUUUAAAAGAACAUCAUAUAGCUUUCUCCUUGCAUCCUCUUACUCAUAUAAUCUAUAAGAGCUUACAAGUUAAGAUAGUUGAGNNNNNNNNNNNNNNNNNNNNNNNNNNNNNNNNNNNNNNNNNNNNNNNNNNNNNNNNNNNNNNNNNNNNNNNNNNNNNNNNNNNNNNNNNNNNNNNNNNNNNNNNNNNNNNNNNNNNNNNNNNNNNNNNNNNNNNNNNNNNNNNNNNNNNNNNNNNNNNNNNNNNNNNNNNUCAAGCUCAUAAUAAAUUCUUGUAGAACUAUCUUAUAAGCGUUUGAUAAACUAGUAAUGUACGUAAGCUAGAAAAUUUUGAAAAGUUCAAUUUAUCCCCUCUUAGACAUCUAUUCUGCACUUUCAUACUUAAAUUUAGAAUUUCUAUAGGUAAAACUAUCAUUUGAAAAAUCCCAUAUUUAAAAGCAAAAAUAAAUUUUAAAAUUUAUAGUACAUAAUUUAUGGGCGGCAGUUUUGGGGCAUGCACCCAAGUGUUUCUAGCGACUGUGACAAUGCAAGGCUUUUCAACCUAAUUCAAGCAUAUAUUAACUAGUCACACAGAAAAGGAGUCGCCAUCCAGAUAAUUCUCUAAGACAUUUUUACUAAUUGAGUGGCAUACUAGAUUCUAUAAGAAAGCUUCGCCAUAUCUAGAGAUGGGUCUAGAAGCCAACUUCCUUAGUUGUAUAUCCCUAUUUUUAAAUUUAAUGUUUAACGGGUUAUUCCCCAUAAACACAACAUUUAUAAUUCUAUGAUUAAUCACUACAACAUAUGAAGCCCACUUAAAUAUAACACAUUUUAGUUAAGCCCAAUUCUUAAUUAUAUUGUUAGCCUAAAUUUACUACUCAAUUAUACUCAAGAGGCUACUCUAGUAUAGCCUAAUUACAAAUUAUGCGAAGUCCUUAUCCUAAUUGGGCUAUAUUUUCCAUGCCAAGGCCCAAUUCAAUCUCCUUAUGCUAAGUAAGUCCAUUAAUUAACUUUAAACAUGAUAAAAAUUCUACCAAGUCUAAAUGGAUUUUAAUUUAGGCCCAAUUUACUAAUAUUUAACCUAAUGGACUGUAAUUUACAUGUAAAGCGCAAUUUUAAGCCUAUGUUUAGGUGUUCAAUUUUAAUUAACAAUCAUACAACAAUUAUUUUUUUAUUCAUCUAGCAAAAUAAAGUAAAAAUAAAUAAACAAAAUAAAGAAAGCAGUAAAUCUAAAUUAUUACAAUCCUUCCCACAACUAAUAAACUUAAAAAAAAAAACUAGUUUAGGUCAAAAAAGGCGAAAAGAAAUAAAAAAGGGCCCGAAAUUGCAAAAUAUGACAGAUUUAGUUGCCCGUCCAGCUGGUGAUAUUACAAAGUUGAUCAACUCAACAAAUAAACAAUCAAUUGUGCAUUGAGUCGAUCGGCUCUAUAGUCCUGUUCUAGGCUGAUUUGGUACUUUUAGGCACUCCAAGCUCAAAAUUGUAAUGCACAUGCACCAAAUCACGUGAAACAUGAUUAACAACAUAUAAAGGAUGAGAUCAUGUAUAGAAUAAUUAACUGUUAAGGCAAUAUAAUACCAAAUAAACUUAUAGUAAGUAAAUUUUCUAAUAUGGCAAUUUCUACAACUGAUGCUAAACUAAUCAUGCCACCCUAAUUAGUUUAUGCCAAAACCCAUAAAUCAUCCUUAACCAAACAUAUUGAUUCAUAUACAUGAUUAUAAGAUUCAUAAUUUGAGAGUAUAAGUAAAUUUUUUCAAAAUCAAAGAAACAUGCAUAUAAUAGAAACACAUAAAUCACAUAGAAAACUUGAUUCUAAGCAUGUUAAUCAUAAGAAAAUAAUCCCAACAAAAAAUCAUGUUAUUCCUAGCAUAUUCCUAAUAAAGUAACAAUCAAAAUAUAAAAGAAAAGAUCAUAAGAGAGAAGAAGUAUUAUAAUAUGAUUUGAAACCAUUAUAAACUUAAUAUUUUAUUCAAUUUCCUGUGUAUUUUUCCUAAAACAAGUCAGACUUAUAUACAAAGAGAAAGGAGAAUUAAAAAGGCAAGAUAGUAAGAUACAAGCUGUAUACUAUAUUAACUCCUUGAUUAUAGGCAUGAGUUGAUGAGAAUGAUUCCUUUGAAUAUUUUCUUGAUUUUCUGCAGUGAUAUUUGUUUCCGUUGUCUUUGUGAAAUAUUUUGUUUCCUUAAUUAGCUUUUCUUCCUUAUCAACCCCCUUCAAGUUGGAGACGGAGUGUAAAUGGAGUCCCAUCUUGUCGCAAAGGAAAACAAAAGGUGCCUUUGGUAAGGACUUGGUGAGAAUAUCUACUAUUUGAUGUGAAGAUGGCACAAACCAUGUGACAAGAUGACCCAUGGCUACCUUUUCUCGGAUAAAAUGAUAGUCUAUUUCGAUAUGCUUUGUCCUCGCAUGAAAAAGAGGAUUAACCGACAUAUGAAGAGCGCUGAGAUUAUCGCAGAAUAAUUAUGGAGCAUGAAGUAAAGGGAUGCCAAUGUCAUGUAAUAAAAAUGUGAGCCAAGUUAAUUCAGUUAUGGUGGAAGCCAUGGACCUAUAUUCUGCUUCUGAACUAGAUCGAGCAAAUGUAGGUUGCUUCUUUGAACACUAAGAGAUGCAAUUUGCACCUAAAAAAGCACAAAAACUUGUUGUGCUUCGUCUGAUUAAAGGACAACCUGCCCAAUCGGCAUCUGAAAGAGCAUACAAAGAGAGAGGACUGUUAGAAAUGAACCGUAAGCCAUAGUCUUAUGUACCUUUAAGGUAGCAAAGAAUUCGCUUGACUACUUUAAGAUGUAGUUCUGUGGGGGAGUUGAAGAAUUGACAAACUUUAUUUACAACAUGUUGAAUGUCUAGUUGAGUGAAUGUGAGGUAUUGAAGAGCGCCAACGAUACUUCUAUAAUAAGUAGCAUUUACACCAUUUUAUUUUGACAUAUUAUCGUUUUCUUUGAGAACCAUAGGAGUAGCAUUAAGAGUACAAUCGGCCAUCCUUGUACGGCUGAGAAAAUCCUUGAAAUAUUUGCCUUGAGAAAGAAUGACUCCUCCAUUGAAGUAUUUAAUUUCCACACCUAAAAAGAAUGUUAGAUAUCCAAGAUCCUUUAUAGCAAAUUCUGCACUCAAUUGAUGAAUUAAAUUAGAGAUAAAGGAGUCAUUAUUUCCGGUCACCAAUAUGUCAUCUACAUAGAUGAGAAACAAUAUUGUAACAGAAUUUUGACGAUAAACAAAUAAAGAAGAAUUUGCCUUACUACAAUAAAAAGUAAGAUGAUGAAGAAACCGAGAUAAGCAAUCAAACCAAGCUCAAGGAGCUUGCUUUAGUCAUAGAGAGACUUGUGAAGAAGGUAUAUAUGAUUAGGUUUGUGCGGAUCCACAAAACCAGGGGGUUGUUCGAUAUACACAAUCUCCUUUAAAUUUCCAUGCAAAAAGGCGUUCUUCACAUCCAGUUGUUUCAUGUGCCAAUUUAGAGAAGUUGAAAGUGCUAUCACAAGACGAAUAGUAGUAUGACGAAUAACUGGGCUAUAAGUCUCAUCAAAAUCAAUACCCGAGACUUGUGUAAAACCACGGGCAAUAAGACGAGCCUUGAAGCGCUCAAUAGAUCCAUUCUCUCAUUGCUUUAUACGAUAAAUCCAUUUUGACCCAACAACAUUCACAUUUUAGGGUCGAGGAACUAGUGACCAGGUUUGGUUUGAAUGAAGGGCAUGCAGUUCCUCUUCCAUGGCCAUAACCCAUCGAGGAUCUUUUAGAGCAACAUGAUAAUUUCGGGGUUCAACAGGUAACUCGAGUUGAGAUAGAUAGCAUUCAUAAUCUUGUAGAUGUUUUGGAGGUUGCCUAUGGCGUUGGGGAUGAACAUAAUUUUCACUUUCAUUAUUGUCGAUAUUUGUAUCAACAAUAUACCUAGGCAAGUCAUUUAGCAAAGUGAGAGUUUGUGUAUCUGCCAGUUCAGCUGCAACUAAGGUUUCAUCUUCAUGAGGCAGAUUAACAUCAGGCAAAACUCCAUUAUUGUCAGGAGAUUCAACAUUAUUAUCAUUAUUACAUUUGUCAUUAUCAUUAUUUUCAUCACAACAGUCGUUAGUAGUUAUAAUAGAUGUUUGAGUUGCUGACUCUACAUUUGUUCCUACCUUUGGAGGUUCAGCUUCAAGAGUGACUUUAAACCAUUCAUCAAGUGUUGGAAAUUCAACAAAUUCUAAUGGUACAAUAAUCGAUUCUUGAGGAGAGGGUUUAUAGAGGAAUUUACCUUCAUCGAAAACAACGUGUCUUGAUAUAUAUACUCUUUUUGUUUGAGGUUCAUAACACUUAUAACCCUUGUGAAUAGGACUAUAACCAAUAAAUACACAAAGAUAAGUUUUCUUAACAAAUUUAUUACCUCAUUGAUGUCUUAGAGAAGGAAAACAUAAGCAUCCAAACACUCGCAAGCUUUUGUAAUUUGGUUCUUUAUGAUAUAGUUUAGAGUAUGGAGACUGGUUGUGUAAAACUGAGGUUGGCAUUCUGUUGAUUAAAUAGACAACUGCAAGAAAAGCUUCAAUCCAUAAAAAUAAUGGCAAGUUAGCAUAAAAUAACAUAGUUAAACCUGUCUCAACAAUGUGCCGAUGCUUCCUCUCGGCCACUUUGUUUUGCUUUGGUGAUUCAGGACAUAAAACUUGGAGCUGAAUACCACAAUUACUAAUAUGACUGAGAAAAUCAAAAGAGUUAAAUUCUCCACCCCCAUCACACUGAAAAAAUUUUAUUUUUCUAUCAAAUUGAUUUUCUACUAAUUUUUGAAAUUUUUGAAAACAAAGAAAAAAUCUGACUUUUUCUUUAAAGGAUAUAACCAAGAAAAUCUUGAAAAAUUAUCUAUAAAUAUAACAUAAAACUAAAAUCCUUGAUUUGAGACAAUGGGAGCUGGUCCCCAAAGAUCACAAUGCACUUUUUGUAAUGGAUAAUCAGACAUAUCAUUAUUUAAAUUAAAGGGUAAUUUACAACUCUUUCCAGAUUGGCAACUAGCACAGAUAGAAGACUUAGUUUGCCAAUUAGUGACAUUAAUGACUUUCUUUCCUUUUAAUAGAGAUAAAAUCUUUGCACUUGGAUGUCCAAGGCGUUGGUGCCACAAAGAGAAUGAGUUGUCCCUUUUUCUUGCAGAUAAAACUUCUUGAAAACUAGGUUCUAAAGCAUAGAGUUGUCCUUGUCUAUGCCCCUUCCCUAUUGUUCUCUUGUUUUGAUCCUUAAUAACAAAAUAAGAUGGUGUGAAUUCAACAGUACAAGAGUUAUCACUAGUGAUUUUACUUACUGAAAUUAAAUUAUUUUUCAGUUUAGGAACGACAAGAACAUCUUUUUAAUUUAAUUCUCAAACACAUGUAUUUCCAGUAUGUGUUAUAUCAAGUUUAUUUUCGUUUCCAACAUAGAUAACAUCCUUUCCUUUACAUGGUUUUGUAUAAGACAACAUACCUGCGUUGUUGGUCAUGUGAGCUGUAGCUCCCAAGUCCAUGUAAAAAGAAAGGGCCAUUGUUGUUUAAGGUGAGAGCUACCAAUGCUUGUGGUAGAUCUUCUGAUUGAUAGGAAUAGUCAAAUCUAUACCAACAAUCAAGAGCAACGUGAUUCAGCUUACCACAUAUUUGACAUGUUGGUUUGUCACUUUUUGGUUGUUGUACAACUUCGUUUGGUCUUCUUUUUCUUGAAGUUAUUGGAAUCAACAUUGUUGUAACGUCCUGCUGGAGUAAAUCCUCUACCUUUUGAAUUAAAACUCCAGCGACGUCCACGUCCACUUCCACGUUGGCUAAAGAGUGCUUGAUUAUAUUCAAUAUAACUAUUCUCUUCUUCCUUUAAGAAGCUAGGGUCUGCUCAUAUCCCUGAAGAGCAAGUAAAAAUUGAUUAAAUUUAGGAUAAGGACGUUUAGUUACCAUAGCUAGAUGGAAGCUUUCAUAUUUUGCUCCUAGUCCAUAUGCAAAUUGAAAGACUUAAUCAAGAUCAUCCACUGGUUUCUUAAUAGCUGCUAGGUUGUCGCAGAUUGAUUUAAAUUCUUUUGUGUAGACAUCUAAGGAUCGUGAUCCUUUCUUGAUGGUCAUCAGCAUAUUUUUCAAAAGACCUUCCUUUUCAAUUGUGAUUGGUAGCAGUUGUUCUUCUAAAGAACUCGACACAUCGUAGGUAGUAGCAUCUUCUGCAAUGGAUGGUUGAGCUUCUUCUUUUAUUGUGCUAAGCAACCAUGAGAUAACAAGACCAUCAUUUGUUAACCAUAAGGUAUAGGCUGGAUUCAUAACCCCAUCUUUUAGCAAACAUUCAGGUUUGUCUUCAUUCUUUUCCAAAUGAUGAAGCACACCGAGACUACGAGCCAGAUGAAGGAUUUGUGAUCGCCAUACGAGAUAGUUAUUGGAGCCUAGUUUAAUUGAAAUCAAACUGGCACAUUGAUGGAAUGAUUGUAAUGUAAGCUUGGGUUCUUCUAUGACUGAUCAAUAAGAAAAUGGAGGAACUGGGCUCUUGAUGCUUGCAAGUUUCAAGGCUUUGAUACCAUGAAAAACUCUUAUAAACUUAAUAUUUUAUUCAAUUUGCUGUUUAUUUUUCCUACAACAGGUCAGACUUAUAUACAAAGAGAAAGGAGAAUUAAAAAGGCAAGAUAGCAAGAUACAAGCUGUAUACUAUAUUAACUCCUUGAUUAUAGGCAUGAAUUUAUGAGAAUGAUUCCUUUGAAUAUUUCCUUGAUUUACUGCAGUGAUAUUUGUAUCUGUUGUCUCUGUGAAAUAUUUUGUUUCCUCAAUUAGCUUUUCUUCCUUAUCAGUCAUCAUAUUGUGUAAAUCCUCGAGUCUUAGGUGAUAAAGUGGAGGUUGAAUUGAAUAUAAGGUAGAAAUCUAGAGUGUUGAAAGUUUUUUGUGUGUUUAUUUUUAGGAAUGCGUACUGCUUAAUACUUAUUAUUAUUCUGCUAAAAGUUACUAAAAAGAUUCUGAGAAUUGCUAAUAGUUGUUAAUUCUAAGCUCAAGGGUUCUUAUUCUAUUUAUAGGAAAAAGCUUAAGAAAUUAUAAAAGCCUUUGAUAUACGUUCUUAACUUUUGUUAAAUAUCCAUAAUUAAAAAAAAUCAAUUUUUAGACUUAUUAGGAGUGUUUAUCCAUAAAUAUUGAAUAAUUUAUUGAAAUCAUUAAAAAUUUGAAUAUUUAUCAAUUAAACAUUUUAGAAGAUGUAUUUUUACAAAUUUUAUCAUUUUAAAUUAAAAAUUUACACAAAUCGACUUCGGGUUUCGAGUUUGGAGCCAAUGAGGACUCUGUGAAUCCAAUCGGCUCUAUACAAAGUAGACUGGCUCUAUGCUAACUCUCGACUCUUUGUACAACCAAUUUCGUUGUAUGUCGAGCUGAUUGGCGCAGGAGUUAAAAGGAUUUAAGGCAUUAAUGCUUUGGUCCCUAAACUUUUAAAAUUUAUAAUUUCACUCCUUAAACUUAAUUUUUCUAUCAAUUUAAUCCAAAUUAAUUUUAGAAAAUAAUUUUUUUGGUUCAAUCAUUUACAAUCUUAAUUGGAAUUAGCCCGAGUUUAACCUUUCGAGACUCGAGAAAAGUAAUACCUUUCAUCAUCAGAUUUUCUAUAAUUUUCUCGAUAUCUAGAUUUGAAGAACGGGUGCUAACAGCUUGACCUCGAUUUUUCGAGAUUUACAAGCAAAAAUAUGAUAAAUAAUUGAGACAAAUCAUAAAUAUUAAGGAUGUGACAAAAAGAAUAUGAUUUGGGGCUGUAGAAGCUAUUUUUUGUAUGCCCUUGUUGGUGUAGACUUUCCAUCUAGCUUCGAUUUGGGUACAACUCCCGUUUAAUUUUAAGCACCGCACCCAUCUAGUUUGAGGAUCAUACCCAUUUGAUUAAGGAUUGCACUUACUUUAUUUAAUGGCUACACCUAUUUUAUUGAAGGACUACACCCGUUUGAUUAAAGGACUACACCUUGUUUGAUUGUAAAGACCUCUUCUUUACUUUUUUAUCAUCUUCUGCUUCUAGAAUCGAUCGAUAAAAUUGAAUUUUCUACUAUUUCCCUUUUUCUGAGUGUUGGACUUGAUCUUAGAUUGAUACCUUCUACUUUGAAAUGCAAUUUGAUUUACUUUUGUCCUCCGAUGAUUAAACCGGUAAUUUGCCCGUCUGGAGACUAAAGUGUAAUUUGAAGAUCAUGGAUCAAAAUGACACUUUUUUCUUGCUUAAGGCUUUUUAAACCUUUCAUAUAAUGAGUAAUUUUAUUUUAAUAUUUGAACAAAAUGGAUUAUGUAUUUUCUAUUUAUAGUUAUAGUGGAAGAUUUACAACUGUAGGUGGCAAUGUGGUUUAUAUGGGGUGACAUCAAGCCUAAAUAUGGUUCGGACUCAUAUAGGAGAGAUUAUCUAGACCUAGUGGAUGAAGUUGAAAAACUGGGUUAUAAUGCUUACAAACUAAGUUGUAAAAUUCCUGGUUUAAGUUUAAAUAAUGGUCUAAGGAAAAUGGUUAAUGAUAAAUAAUUAAUAGACACGGUGCAGUAUGUUAGUAAUAAGGAUGGGGUUAUUCAAUUAUAUGUAGAAGGAGUAGCUACUAGUAAGAAGGGAAAAGAAGAUGGACGUGAUGUAGUUGAAAAUGUAAGGGGCAGUAAUGAAGUGAAUAAGGAUGUUGAUCCUGAAGCUGUUGAACUUAAUCUAGAUGGACCUGAGUAGAAAAUAAGGGUUAAGAUUACAUUGAUGUUAGCAUUGAACAUGAUGAAAAUGAAUAAAAUGAGAAUGUUCAUGCCAGUAAGGAGGAACUAGAUCUUGACUAUUGCCCAGUCUAUUAGAAUGACAUUGAUAAUGGACUAGAAGAUUAUGAACUUUAAGAUGAUAAAGAAAACAUUCAAGCUAGGCAAAAUAAAGUAAAGUACAUGAAAUAUGUAUUGGUUGAUGAAGUUGUUGAUAGAUUACAGAACAACACUGGUUUGCAUUUUAAGAGUACAAUUGUUAAUGAUAAUAGGGUAGGAAAAGAUAGAUAGAACAAUUUGGUUUUAUUAGAGAAUAUGAAGAUUCUGAUAGUGAUGUUAACUUCAUCUGUAGUGAUGAGGAUAAGCUAGAAGAGAGAAUCAAAAGGAGAAAAAUAGUUGUUUAUGAUCCAAGAUGUGAUCCUAAAUUUUUAUAGCUAAAGCUUGGAAUGAGGUGUUGAAGAUGCUCACUUAUAUAAAACUGCAGUGUAGAAAUGGACUAUAAUUAAUGGUCGUAAUGUUUAAGCAACGAGGAGCAACGAGUUUCAACUUGAGAUGAAAUUUCAAAAGAACUACUUAUAGAGACUUUAUGACAAUAUGAUUAAGAGUGAGAAACAUUUGCAAUUAAAUCAUACAUUCAUGACACAAAUGCGAUUGAGAGAUAAAGAACAAGCAAGCUACUUUUGCCUAAGUGGCUAAUGAGUAUAUAUAUAGGUUUAGGGGAAAUGCCAACUAGAGUGUUAAAGAUUUGGAAGAUGAAUUGAUGGAUAAAUUUUAUGUUCAAGUAUAAGGUCUAAGUGUUAUAGGGCAAAAUGGUAAGAAUUGAACAUCCUUAGAGGGUCUAUGCAUGAACAUUAUGCUCAACUGAGAUCCAAUAAAUUUGAGUUGAUAAGGGUUGACAAGGAGGGGAGAUUUGAUUUCCUACUUGAAAAAGAUUGUACCUUCAAAGGUUUUUUCAUUGGAUUUAGUACUCUAAGAAAGGAGUUCUUAAAAGGAUGUAGAGCAAUCAUUGGUUUUGAUGGCUACUUCCUAAAGAUAUAUCUUAAUGGGGCUUUGUAUGUGCCAUAGGCAAAGAUAGGAAUAAUAAAAUAUUCCUUAUUUUUUGCAUUGUGGUAGAAGUUGAAAAUGAGUAUUUUUGGACUUGGCUUUGGCACAUUGUCCUAAAAGAGUUGCAAAUAGGUGAUAGAUUAAGAUAGACCUUCAUAUCUAAUAAAAAAGGUAAAUUUCCUUAUUUUACUUAAAUAUGCCCAUUCAUUCUAUUGUUUAGAAGAGUAGAUAUUAACUUAUGGUUUUACUGUGUUUUCUUAAGAACUUAUUAAUACCAUCAAGUACUUGUCUCCAUUUGCAUAACAUAAAUUAUGUCAGACACAUGUACUACAAUUAAAAGAAAGAAUAAAAAGGACAUGUUCUUUAAAACAUGUUUUAGAGAGCAGCUAAGAGCACUUAUGAAGCUGUAUACAAAGAAGAAAUUGAAGAAAUUACAAGAGAGAAUGAGGUUGCAUAAAAUAAUUUCCUAGAGAGAGACCCUUCUAAAUGGUCUAAGUCAUUUAUUAGUAAACUACCUAAGUAUGAUAUGGUUGAUAACAAUGUAAUUGAGACAUUCAAUAGGUACAUUGUAAAGGCUAGGGAUAACUCAAUUAUUGACAUGUUAGAGAAAAUUAUGUGUGCAUUGAUGCAGAGAAUGUAUAAAAAUUGAUGUAUGUUAGUGAGCAAAUAAAUACAAUGUGCUCUAAGAUUAGAACUAAGUUAAAGGAAAUCAAGUACAAUAGUAGGUUGAAUACUUGUAAACAUGUUGUUGGUGGGAAAUUUCAAGUCAAUAUAGGUGAAGAUCAAUUUUUUGUGGAUUUGAACAAUCACACAUGUAGUUGUAGGACAUGGCAAAUAUACGGUGUUCUAUGCAUGUUCUAGUAUAAACUAGUUGAAUAAGAAUAUUGCAGUAUAUAUAGAUCCUUAAUUUUGAUGCAUAUUCACAUGCUUUGGAGCCACUUAAUGGUAAGAAUAUGUGGCCCCAAGCUGAUGACCUAUAGGUCAAACAACCUACUUUUAAGAAAAUGCCAAGUAGGCCCAUAAAUAAUAAAAGAAGAGGUCCCAUAGAUGAUCCAAAGAAUCCAACAAAGCAGACAAAACUAUGACUUGCAAAAUUUGUGAGGUAGUUGAUCAUAACAAAAGGAGUUGUAAAAUGAGACAAUGAUCCUAUAUUUCAGAUGCUAGUAAAGCUACCAGGAAGUAAGAAAGUGUUUGCUAAUUAUCUCUAUUAUUAAAUAAUGUUCUUAUGUAUACUAUUCAUUUUAAUUACAGGUUAAAAGGGGUAGAUCAAGAAUUAUGAAUUUAGUUGAGGGCUCAAGUGGUAGACAAACUACUACUAAUAUGACACAAAGUAAAAGAAGGAAACCAAUAAAAAAAACAAGUGAUGUUUAGAUGCAUGGAAGUCAAGGUAAUUCUAG
Molecule: long non-coding RNA, 87993 nt
Filed under: Ricinus communis (castor bean)
Lineage: Eukaryota; Viridiplantae; Streptophyta; Magnoliopsida; Malpighiales; Euphorbiaceae
Description: long non-coding RNA (RCOM_LNC002284)
Source: RNAcentral